AAACACAAUCAACCAGCUCAUCGUAUGUGCCAACAACUGGAUGGAACUCGUAGGGUAGAGAGUAGUUUUGCUCCAAAAUUUUUAACACCUCGUGGAAAAUAUCAAUACAGAAACCAGUAUAUUUUUUUUCAGGCUCGAUUUGAGCUUCGCCCACCUCCACAAAAUUUUUAAAAGUGCCGUUAGCUGGAAUUCCAAUCUUCAAUGGUUUUGGAUCAGUGGGCAUUUCCCAUCCCUUGGGGACACGUUUUAGGUACCCUGGCCAAAUCACUGGACCCUCCAAAAUCCUUGUGGUGUUUCUACCGCUAUUUUUGUCUCCACCUUCUCUGCUGAAAGGGUUGUCCAAGUCCUGUGUCCAAAAAUCAAGCUCCCUGUAACCCUUUCCAACAAUGUUUAUAAUAAUGAAUGGCAACGAAUUUGAAUUUGAAAAAUUAAUUGUUCCACUUAAACCACUGAAGUCACUUAAUAAUAUAUUUUUUAACAACAUUUUUGGAGUAUUAGUAUCAUCAGCUAAUCUCUCCAGGGCCCGUGUGAUGACAGCAAUGCUAUCAUAUGCUCGUAGUGCAUGAAUUCCUGGCUGGGCGUUGUCUUCCUCUGGGUAUUCAGAUUUAAAAUUUUUCUGAAACUGGGCAGAGAAUUCUUGGAAGGGCCUAUUGGAUUUGGAAUAGUAGGACUUGAUUCCUAGAGCCCCUUCCAUAUAGGAGAUAAAGGAGGUGUCCAUGGAAUCCAGGAAGCUUGAAAUGCUAUCUGUAAUUAUCCAGGCUGAGUCUUUCCCCAUAAAAUCCAUCCGCCUUGCUUCUUGGAACAAUUGGGUAGCCAUUGGUAAAGACGAUUGAAGAACAAUGAAAACUGAUAAGCCAAGAACAGAGGAGAACAGAGGAGUUGGUUCUGAUGUCACGAGAUGAAGCCCACUUGUUGUUAGAUUUAUUGUUAUUGAGUUGUUAUUUUUUACCAGCUGUCAUAACAGCCUGUCUCCAUCUAUUUUGAACACUAUAUAUAUAUUAAAUCUCUCUCUCUUGUUACUUUAACAAUAGAGAGCAGAGUUUUCAGCUUCAGCUUUUCUAUCUUGGUAUCAGAGCUAACAUUCAAGGUUUGAAUUUUUUCUUCUCUUUCUCACUUUCUCUCUGUUUCUCUCGAUCCAAACAUGGCCUCUACUCCGACACAGUCUUCUUCUUCCUCUGGUUCGAUUGGAUCUGGACAAAGCUCAACAAUGGCGUCCAUUCCUUCCUAUCAGAUGCUUAAUCACACUCUGCCUGUGAAACUUGAUCGGACGAAUUACAUCCUAUGGAGAUCUCAGAUUGAUAAUGUCAUUUUUGCUAAUGGCUUUGAGGAUUUCAUUGAUGGAACCUCUAUCUGUCCGGAGAAAGAUCUGAGUCCAGGAGUGAUGAAUCCAGCUUUUGUUGCUUGGAGGAGACAAGAUCGAACAAUCCUUAGUUGGAUCUACUCGUCGCUCACACCAGGUAUCAUGGCACAGAUCAUAGGCCAUAAUACUUCUCACUCUGCUUGGAAUGCCUUGGAAAGUAUUUUUUCAUCUUCUUCAAGAGCUAGGAUAAUGCAACUCAGACUCGAAUUACAAUCCACAAAGAAAGGAUCAAUGUCGAUGAUAGACUACAUAAUGAAGAUCAAAGGAGCUGCUGAUAAUCUAACUGCUAUUGGAGAACCUGUCUCAGAACAAGAUCAGGUUAUGAAUCUUCUUGGAGGUCUUGGAUCCGAUUAUAAUGCUGUUGUUACUGCUAUCAACAUUAGAGAUGAUAAGAUCUCUCUUGAAGCUAUACAUAGUAUGCUAUUAGCCUUUGAGCAUCGUCUUGAGCAACAAAGCUCGAUUGAACAAAUGUCUGCCAAUUAUGCCUCUUCCUCUAAUAACAGAGGUGGUGGAAGGAAGUUUAAUGGAGGUCGUGGACAAGGCUACUCUCCAAAUAACAAUAAUUACACCUAUAGAGGUCGUGGACGUGGAGGUAGAAAUGGACAAGGUGGAAGGCAAAAUUCCAGUCCAAGUGAGAAACCUCAGUGUCAGUUAUGUGGUAAGUUUGGCCACACUGCUCAGAUCUGUUAUCACAGGUUUGAUAUCUCUUUUCAAGGAGGUCAGACUACUAUUUCUCAUUCUUUGAAUAAUGGGAAUCAAAACAAUAUACCUGCUAUGGUUGCUUCUGCUUCUAAUAAUCCUGCAGAUGAAAGUUGGUAUUUGGAUUCUGGAGCAAGUCACCAUCUGACUCAGAAUUUGGGGAAUCUCACCAGUACUUCACCAUACACGGGAACAGAUAAAGUCACUAUUGGUAAUGGUAAGCAUCUCUCCAUCUCCAAUAUUGGCUCUAAACAACUUCAUUCUCAUACACAUUCUUUUCGACUCAAGAAGGUGUUUCAUGUUCCCUUUAUCUCAGCUAAUUUGAUUAGUGUGGCUAAGUUCUGCUCAGAAAAUAAUGCCUUGAUUGAGUUUCAUUCUAAUGCUUUCUUUGUGAAGGAUCUACACACGAAGAUGGUUCUUGCUCAAGGCAAGCUUGAAAAUGGCCUUUACAAGUUUCCUGUGUUCAGCAAUCUGAAACCUUAUAGUAGUAUUAAUAAUGCUUCUGCUUUCCAUUCCCAAUUUUCGAGUACUGUUGAAAAUAAAGCAGAGUUAUGGCACAAUAGACUAGGCCAUGCUAGUUUUGACAUUGUUUCAAAAGUCAUGAAUACUUGUAAUGUUGCUUCUGGGAAAUAUAAAUCCUUUGUUUGUUCUGAUUGUCAGUUAGCUAAAAGUCAUAGACUACCCACUCAGCUCUCAAAUUUUCAUGCAUCUAAACCUUUAGAACUUGUUUAUACUGAUAUUUGGGGACCUGCCUCAAUUAAAUCUACAUCUGGAGCGAGAUAUUUCAUUCUUUUUGUAGAUGAUUAUUCCAGGUAUACUUGGUUUUAUUCAUUACAAACAAAGGAUCAGGCUCUUCCCAUCUUUAAGCGAUUCAAGCUUCAAAUGGAGAAUCAGUUUGACACCAAAAUUAAGUGCUUACAGUCUGAUAAUGGUGGAGAAUUUCGAUCUUUUACGUCUUUUCUUCAAGCAGUUGGUAUUGCCCAUCGAUUUUCCUGUCCAUACAACUCAGCUCAAAAUGGUAGAGUUGAGCGGAAGCACCGACACGUAGUUGAAACUGGGUUGGCUUUGUUAUCUCAUGCUUCCUUGCCAAUGAAGUACUGGCACUAUGCUUUUCAGACAGCAACUUUUCUUAUCAAUCGAAUGCCAAGCAAAGUUCUCGAGUAUGACUCUCCUUACUUCACUCUUUUUAGAAGGCAUCCUGACUAUAAAUCUUUUCGUGUAUUUGGCUGCCUUUGUUAUCCUUUCAUUCGGCCAUACAACACUCAUAAAUUGCAGUACAGAUCUGUCCAAUGUCUUUUUCUUGGCUAUAGUUUGAAUCACAAGGGGUUUUUAUGUCUUGAUUAUGCAACUGGAAGAGUCUAUAUUACUCCCCACGUGGUCUUUGAUGAAUCAACUUUCCCACUUGCUCAGUCCAAGUCUUCCAGUUCGUCUAAUGACACUUCAGCAGAAGGCUCUACCCCUGCCCUUAUAACUCCUCCUUCUUUUCCAUGUCUUCUCCCAGAUUCAAAAAUCAGUCAUGUUUCCAUAGAUUCUCAUUCUCUAUCCACAAGUGAAAGUCCUAUUCCUACAACCUCUUCUUCACCUCUGGACACAUCUAGUUCUUCUCCUGCUAUAGAUUUAUCACCUAAAUCUGUUCCAGAACCUCAAAUCACUGCUCUUUCUCCACGAAUGACAACAAGGUCCAUGCGUGGUAUAACCAAGAAAAAGACCAUUCUUGAUCUCUCUGCCAUAAAGGUUUCAGAACCAUCUACUCUCAAACAAGCCUUCAAAGAUCCAAAUUGGACUAAAGCUAUGGAAAUGGAGAUUGCUGCUCUUCAUAGAAACCAUACUUGGGAUCUUGUUGAACAACCACCCAAUGUCAAUGUGAUUGGCUGUAAGUGGGUGUAUAAACUGAAACAUAAGCCAGAUGGGAGUAUAGAGAGGUAUAAAGCUAGGCUUGUGGCAAAAGGAUAUAAUCAGACUCAUGGUCUGGACUAUUUUGAGACGUUUAGUCCAGUAGUUAAGGCUGCCACUAUUCGCAUCAUACUUACUGUUGCUCUCAGUUUUAAGUGGGAAAUUCGACAGCUUGAUGUUCACAAUGCCUUCCUCAAUGGUGAGCUAGAAGAACAAGUCUAUAUGUCUCAACCUCCUGGAUACUUUGACCCUCAAUUCCCGAAUAGAGUGUGCAGAUUGAAGAAGGCUUUAUAUGGCUUAAAACAAGCCCCACGUGCUUGGUUUCAAAGACUCAGCUCUGCUCUUCUUCAGUGGGGAUUCAGCAUGUCUCGGACUGAUAGUUCUAUGUUUCUGCACUUUGGAAAGGCCACUACUUUGAUAGUUCUUGUCUAUGUUGAUGAUAUCCUUGUAACGGGCAGCUCCUCCACACAGAUUUCGUCUCUCAUAGCUAAACUUGAUUCAGUUUUUGCCUUACGAGAUUUGGGUCAACUCUCAUUCUUUCUCGGUAUAGAGGUUUCUUACAAUGAAGGCUCUAUGACUUUGAGCCAAACCAAAUACAUUUCAGAUCUUCUUCAUAGAACUGAACUGUUUGAUACCAAACCGGCAAACACACCUGGUGCUGUUGGGAAGAACUUGUCUAAAUUUGAUGGAGAUCCUAUGACAGAUGUUACCCAUUAUCGAAGUGUAGUAGGGGCACUUCAGUAUGUUACCUUGACAAGACCUGAUAUAGCCUUUGCUGUCAAUAAGGCAUGCCAAUUUAUGCAACAACCAACCACAGCUCACUGGCUCUCAGUCAAACGAAUACUUCGGUAUCUAAGAGGAACAAUGCAAGAUGGGCUCCUGUUCAGUCCUUCAAGUAACUUGACAAUAGAGGGAUUCACAGAUGCAGAUUGGGGUGCUCACCUUGAUGAUAGGCGCAGCUCAAGUGGAUAUCUAGUUUAUCUAGGAGGUAACUUAGUCUCUUGGUCCUCUACCAAACAAAAAGUGGUGUCUCGCAGUAGUGCCGAGUCUGAGUAUCGUGGUCUUGUUUUCGCUACUGCUGAGAUUGUUUGGAUGCAAGCCUUACUGCAAGAGCUAUGUGUGCCAAUACCUGCUAUACCUCUACUUUGGUAUGAUAAUAUCAGUGCUUACCAUAUGGCAAAGAACCCUGUGUUUCAUGCUAGAACUAAACACAUAGAAAUAGACCUUCAUUUUAUACGAGAUCAAGUCAUGAGAGGAAAGAUACAACUGCAAUUUGUUCCCACUGAAGAGCAGCCAGCAGAUUUAUUGACUAAGCAUCUCACAAGUUCAAGGUUCUUGUCCCUCAAAUCUCAGCUUUGUAUAGCUCCAAGACCCUUUCACUUGAGGGGGGAUGAUAAGCCAAGAACAGAGGAGAACAGAGGAGUUGGUUCUGAUGUCACGAGAUGAAGCCCACUUGUUGUUAGAUUUAUUGUUAUUGAGUUGUUAUUUUUUACCAGCUGUCAUAACAGCCUGUCUCCAUCUAUUUUGAACACUAUAUAUAUAUUAAAUCUCUCUCUCUUGUUACUUUAACAAUAGAGAGCAGAGUUUUCAGCUUCAGCUUUUCUAUCUAAAACCCUGGAUCGUGUGCUCAGAAGCUUCAAGAGCUCUUGAUGGACAGCUCCUCUUGGAUCAGAUAGAGAUGAUAUGGGAGGAAGAGGCAAAUGGUACUCAAUCUCGGAGCCAACUCUUUGAAGAGCUUCAGAAAAAAUAGUUAACAUCUCAGCGUUCCCACCGUACGCAUCAUCUUCAUAGAUUGCGAUGACCCUUCACCAGUGAUAGGAGUGAACGAUAGCUGCAAUGCACCUUAUUUGUUCAGAAACAUUGGUGCCCAUUUGUAUCAGGGUGGACCUUCCAAGCUGCCUCGAUGGCCGGACACUCGCGGCUGCCGCCAAUGAAAGAACUGGUACUUGAGCUUGGUUUCCGAUUUCAUCAGCUAAAGCUGCUUGCUGCCAUGUAUCCAUGCCCACAAUCACUUGCACUUUCUUCUCUUUAAUCAGUUCUUCAGCUGUAAUUAAAUGUUAUGAACCCCAUCAAUUGUAUUCCAUUUUUGUUCUGCCUAUUUCAUUCAUAUUCAGUACAUAACAGUGUUUUUCAAUACAUGGAAGCAAUAAAAAUCCAUUUCCACCUAUUUCAAUUUCUUUUCUUUUUCUAAAUGAUGAGUGCUACUUAAAACAAGUCAAGUUAUCCUAAAUUUAUUUUUUAGAGGAAAACUUAAGAAUGAAAAAAAAAAAAAGGAAAAGAAAAAGGAAAAACAUUAGAAUUUAAUAUUUUUUUUAUUUUACUAUGAUUGCGAAAUGACCAAUAUAAAGACAUCCAUCUCUCUAUAUCUUCCUACUUUUAUUUUUUAAAAUUAAUAUAAAAAAUAAAAAAAUUAUUUUUACUUCUUUAUAUCCAUUCAAAGUUUAACCCUAAUUCUUCCUUUGUCCUUUCCUCUGCCUCGUCCCUUCUUUUCCCUCCUAGUGGGUCAUGAAUGAUACAAAGGAAGAGAAUAAAAGGGAAACAAAAUUGAGGUGGGUGUUAAAGAAGAUGAGGAUAAUUUUAUCCUUUCAUAUUUAAUUUUUAAUUUAAAAUAAAUAAAAAAAUAAAAAAUAGAAGAUGUAUAAGUGACGUAGAGAUAGUUUGGGUGGCUGAUGUUAUAACCACUCGUGUAUCAUGCUAGAGGAUUAAUGUUGAAAAUAAUAGGUGAUUAGACAGCCGUAGAAGGAAUCAAGGAAGAGAUGACCAACCAGUUAAGGCCGCCCCAUAGAGUUCUCCGGUGAAGUUCCGGGAGAUAAGAGAGAGCUUAUGAUUCUUGGAAUUGUUAUUGAACUUAUCCACAGCUAUCUUGAUGGCGGUUAUUUCCUCUUUACCUUUACGAGAAUUAGCAUCAAUGAUUGCCCCAAUGAUGGUGGAGUUGUCAUCUACUGCUGUGCCGGUGAUGUAUCCAAGAUGGCAGACAAUUAAAAGAAUGGAGGUAAGUGAAAAGCAGAUGAAACAUGGUGUUGGAGAAUUCAGUGGGGAGGGCAUUUCUGCUCUUAGCAACCAGCAAGCAAUUAGUGCCUUAAAGGAGAUUCUUCUAAGCUUAAAUAAAUAUAAAUUCACAAGUAGAAUAUUCAUUUCGAAUCCCCAGUAUGAAGUUUCCUUCUUACUUCGUAAGUCAAUUCUUGCUGUGGAAUUCCCUUCCAUUACUUUCAUUCUCCUUGUACGUGGUAUUCAAAGCCAACCGCAUGGAUUUAUGGCCAAGGACAAAGAAGAUUAAACAAUGUGUCGUUUUCAUUCAAGGAUUUAGUGGUGUUGGAGGUAAGAUGGGAAGGCAUGUGUGGUAUUGAUGGGAGAUGAUAAGAUGGAAAUCAUAACCAUAGCCAUGUUCUCUAUGUGUCUUUCUAUCCUCUUCAAUUAAUUCAUGAGCAUAAAUAUUUUAUUUAGUUUUUAUAUUUAGUUUAUUUAUAGUUUAUUUAGUUUCUAAAAUCCAAUAAGUUAGAUAUUUUAUUUGAUUUUGUUUUUAUAUUUAAGUAUUUGAGUUUUGGAAAGUUUUUAUAUUUUGUUAAUAGAAAUAGAAAUUUUUAUAUUUUUUAUUAUUAGGAAUUUCUAUUUUGUUAAAUUGUAAGUAUCUAUCUCAAUAAGAAAUUAUUAAUAUUCAAAUGAAAGUGAUGAAAGAGAGUAAAUAUUUUAAUGCUCAAUUAUAUUUUAAUGUUAUUUUUUUUUUUUACAUAAAGGUUUAUUUAUGUUUUCAAUUUUGAAGUUCUCUUUCCAAGUCCAACAACAAAAGUAGUGUCCAACCUUAAAAUGGGCAUGUGUGGUAUUGACGGGAGAUGAUAAGAUGGAAACCAUAACCAUAGCCAUGUUCUCUCUGUGUCUUUCUAUCAUCUUCAAUUAAUUCAUGGGCAUAAAUAUUUUAUUUAGUUUUUAUAUUUAGUUUAUUUAUAGUUUAUUUAGUUUCUAAAAUCCAAUUAGCUAGAUAUUUUAUUUGAUUUUAUUUUUAUAUUUAAGUAGUUGAGUUUUGGAAAGUUUUUAUAUUUUGUUAAUAGAAAUAGAAAUUUUAUAUUUUUUAUUAUUAGGAAUUUCUAUUUUGUUAAAUUGUAAGUAUCUAUCUCAAUAAGAGAUUAUUAAUAUUCAAAUGAAAGUGAUGAAAGAGAGUAAAUAUUUUAAUGCUCAAUUAUAUUUUAAUGUUAUUUUUUUUUUACAUAAGGGUUUAUUUAUGUUUUCAAUUUUGAAGUUCCCUUUUCAAGUCCAGCAACAAAAGUAGUGUCCAACAUUAAAAUGGGCAUGUGUGGUAUUGACAGGAAAUGAUAAGAUGGAAAUCAUAACCAUAGCCAUGUUCUCUCUGUGUCUUUCUAUCCUCUUCAAUUAAUUCAUGGGCAUAGAUAUUUUAUUUAGUUUUUAUAUUUAGUUUAUUUAUAGUUUAUUUAGUUUCUAAAAUCCAAUUAGCUAGAUAUUUUAUUUGAUUUUGUUUUUAUAUUUAAGUAAUUGAGUUUUGGAAAGUUUUUAUAUUUUGUUAAUAGAAAUAGAUAUGAGGACUUAAAGGGUUUAUAUUUAGGUAGUGCUUGAGCCAAGGAAAAUGAUAGUCCACUAUCUUGACCCUAUGCAUCACAAACCAUGUGAGGACUUAAAGGAUAUCGUAAACAUGUAAGUUCUUCAUAUUAUUUUUCAUAGUAUUAUUUUUAAAUAAAAAAAAUACAUUCACCUCAAACACAUUUUUUUUAUUUAUAUAUAUUAAAACAUAUAACAUUUACCUAUUUUAAAAAUGUACCCAUUGAACUUAUUUACAUAGGGCUCUUCGAAUAUCUGCAAAGAAAACAUCUAAGAGGGAGCCAUCUUAGCAACUAGUGUAGGUGACAUCCAAAAAUUUUUCUUUACACAUUAGCUUAUGCAUUUGCACCAUUUAUAUAUGUGAGUACUAAUGUUAUUUUAUAAUUGAUUGAUUAGUGUCCAAGACAAGAAGGAGGGUUCGAAUGUGGCUACUUUGUUAUGAGAUUCAUUAAAGAGAUAAUUUUUGAUCCUACAAUUAUUGCUUCAAAGGUAUUACUUAUUUAAUGAAUUGUACAUAGUUUUAGGCUUCCAAAUGUUAUGCAUUUUAAUGUUAUUUUCUUAUUUGAUUUCAGUUUGGUAAUAAAAAAAAACAUAUUCUCAAGUAGAAUUCGAUGAAAUUAGAGGAGAAUGGGCUACUUUUGUGCUACAACUAAUCAUGAAUCAUGUUGAUGCAUCAUGAUCACCAUGCAUGGUGAGUCCCUUAGCUACUACAUGAAUUUUUCCAUAGGUAUUGUAUAGUAAUGCUUAUUCUUUGAAUAAUGUUUCUAUUUGAAAAAAAAAAUUAAUUCUUAGAUAUGUUCAUUUAUGAUAACAUAGAUCCAUGUUUAUUUUCUUCAAUAAAAAUCUCUAAAACUCAUUAAAUUUUGAAAUGCAGGUAUACACUCUUGGGAGGGUGAAAUGGAGAAUAAAAAGAAAGAAGAAGGCAACAAGAUUUUGGGUUUUUAAAUGCAACUCUUAUGUCAUACGUUGUAGGACAUAAACGUUACUUUAAUUGCAACUGAGAAAUUUAGAUUUUUAGAUGGGACUUCUAUGUCAUUUUAUGGUUAGCCGGUUUUAUGCUUAUGAAAUGGAGGUAUACAUGAAUCUUGGGAUCUUUAACAUUUCUAAAUCAUGUUUUGGUAUGUAUUCACUCUUCUUUUUUAGUUUUGAUGGGUUUGAUAUGUUGGAUGUACUAUCCUUUUGUGAACAUUUGAUAUACAAAUAUUAUUAGAUGAUCAAUGUAUUAUGAGUUAUUCCAGAAACAUUACAGAAAAAUGAGUUAAAUAUAAUAUGAUUGUUAUAUUUAUGGACAAAAUAUAAACAGGUUAAUCUUAUUAAUUCAUAAGCAUUACAAAAAUCAACAACUAAAACCAAUCAUAUAUUCCACAAUAAUUUACAAUGAUGUGAUACCAUAUCUCAAAGGUGAUGCAUUUAAUGUGACAUCAUAACUCAAAGAUGAUGUAUUUAAUGUGACACCCUAUCAUCACUAGAAAUAUAUGGUGUCACUUCUGAAUGGGUCACCAUUUAUCUAAUUUGGUGUCACUUCCAAAUACGUCACCAAUUGGUACCCUCUAUGGUGUCAGUGGAGAAGGUGACGCUAUGUUGUAGUGACACCUUAUGUUUAUGGUGACUCGUUAUAAAUGUCACCAUAUACCUUUUUCCUUGUAGUGGUCUCUCUGAAAUAAUUAUCCCAGUAGUACUGUUCCUGAUUUGUGAAGUUGCAGGCCUUGGAAGUCAUUGUCCACAGUUUUCUGUUUUUAAACGACUUGCUCAGUCAAUCUUUCCCCCCUCACAUAAAACACGGUUUUGAAAUUUAGGGAAAGUUGUGUUUGCAGCCAACUAUUUGAAAGUAAUAUGACAAUCAAACUCCAAUCAGCUGGAAUAUGAGAUUUGAUUGUCAAAGGAGAAAAUAUUAUCUUUCUUGUGCACUCUUUGCUGACUCCAUUUUAUGUUCCUAGAUUGCCCCUCCAUGCCACCAUGUCAGCUGCAACCUUGUCUCCAUAUCAGCAGCAAGCCCUCCAUGUCACAAAAGAGAUUGAAAAUUUUAAAAACAAAAAAAUCUAAAUUUGAAACCUAUGAAAAAUCACUCGACCCGACAAUUGACUGUUAUUUCCCUAAUAUGAAACCUUUCUUUUCUCUGAUUUGGGAACAUUUCUCUCUCUCUCUUGGCUUCAUCACCCACACAAUCCUGAGACCCAUAUAAAAUUUCCCAAAAAUUGUCUCAUUUGAGAGAAAAAACCAUUAAUCCAAAACUCCAACCUGGGUGUUUCUUUCAUGUCCACAUAAAAGUGCAAUGAAAUGGAGCAUUCCAUCCUAAAAGCGUUCAGUUAAAAGACGACUUCAAGAGGCAUAUAUGUGAUUGUGAAUUUACUACAGCAGCGCGUACCCAAAUAGAAAGCUAGAAUCCAAAAUAUUGGCUUCGUCAACAAGAUAUCUCUUCCUGUCAUUGAGCGCAUUUUGCCCUAACCCUAAACUGAAAUUUGAAGGUAAAUAAUUUUUAUUUAUUGUUCUUUAGUUUGAAAUGGGGCACAUCAAUGAUUUUGGAGUCGUUGGUGGACUUGAACUUUUGUGUGGGGAAGUGGAAACCAUAUUAUUCCCAAAUAACCAUAUGACCUACAAGUCGCAUUGAAUCCAGAUGGAACUUACAACAUAUCCGAUUGCAAGUCCCAUUGUUAUUUUGGGGACUGUACCUUAGGUACUACCUUAAUAGCCCUUAGGUACCACCUUAAUCUACCUUAGGUACUACCUUAACGGAGCUUAGGUACUACCUUAGUUAAACUUGGGUACUACCUAUCCGAAGCAUUGAAACUUCAAUUGUGGACAUUACUUACUUCAUUUGUGACCCUUAGAGCAUGCCAUUAUGUGAUUAUUUAGUGUGCUCAAUUGGUUCACCUUUCCUAUUUUGGGGACUGUACCUUAGGUACUACCUUAAUAGCCCUUAGGUACCACCUUAAUGUACCUUAGGUACUACCUUAACGGAGCUUAGGUUUUACCUUAGUUAAACUUGGGUACUACCUGUCCGAAGCCUUGGAACUUCAAUUGUGGACAUUACUUACUUCAUUUGUGACCCUUAGAGCAUGCCAUUAUGUGAUUAUUUAGUGUGGUGAAAUGAUUCACCUUUCUUAUUUUGGGAACUGUAUCUUAGGUACUACCUUAAUAGCCUUUAGUUACCACCUUAAUCUACCUUAGGUACUACCUUAACGGAGCUUAGGUACUACCUUAGUUAAACUUGGGUACUACUUGUCCGAAGCAUCGAAACUUCAAUUGUGGACAUUACUUACUUCAUUUGUGACCCUUAAAGCAUGCCAUUAUGUGAUUAUUUAGUGUGCUCAAUUGGUUCACCUUUCCUAUUUUGGGGACUGUACCUUAGGUACUAUCUUAAUAGCCCUUAGGUACCACCUUAAUGGCCCUUAGGUACCACCUUAAUGGCCCUUAGGUACCACCUUAAUGGCCCUUAGGUACCACCUUAAUGUACCUUAGGUACUACCUUAACGGAGCUUAGGUACUACCUUAGUUAAACUUGUGUACUACUUGUCCGAAGCCUCAGAACUUCAAUUGUGGACAUUACUUACUUCAUUUGUGACCCUUAGAGCAUGCCAUUAUGUGAUUAUUUACUGUGGUGAAAUGAUUCACCUUUUUUAUUUUGGGAACUGUACCUUAGGUACUACCUUAAUAGCCCUUAGGUACCACCUUAAUAGCCCUUAGGUACCACCUUAAUGUACCUUAGGUAUUACCUUAAUGGAGAUUAGGUAUUACCUUAGUUAAACUUGGGUACUACCUAUCCGAAGCCUCGAAACUUCAAUUGUGGACAUUUCUUAUUCCAUUUGUGACCCUUAGAUCAUGCCAUUAUGUGAUUAAUUAGUGUGCUCAAUUGAUUCAAUUUUGUUAUUUUGGGGAUUGUACCUUAGGUACUACCUUAAUAUCCCUUAGUUACCAUCUUAAUGUACUUUAGGUACUACCUCAAUGGAGAUUAGGUACUACCUUAGUUAAACUUGGGUACUACCUGUCCGAAGCCUCGGAACUUCAAUUAUGGACAUUUCUUACUCCAUUNNNNNNNNNNNNNNNNNNNNNNNNNNNNNNNNNNNNNNNNNNNNNNNNNNNNNNNNNNNNNNNNNNNNNNNNNNNNNNNNNNNNNNNNNNNNNNNNNNNNNNNNNNNNNNNNNNNNNNNNNNNNNNNNNNNNNNNNNNNNNNNNNNNNNNNNNNNNNNNNNNNNNNNNNNNNNNNNNNNNNNNNNNNNNNNNNNNNNNNNNNNNNNNNNNNNNNNNNNNNNNNNNNNNNNNNNNNNNNNNNNNNNNNNNNNNNNNNNNNNNNNNNNNNNNNNNNNNNNNNNNNNNNNNNNNNNNNNNNNNNNNNNNNNNNNNNNNNNNNNNNNNNNNNNNNNNNNNNNNNNNNNNNNNNNNNNNNNNNNNNNNNNNNNNNNNNNNNNNNNNNNNNNNNNNNNNNNNNNNNNNNNNNNNNNNNNNNNNNNNNNNNNNNNNNNNNNNNNNNNNNNNNNNNNNNNNNNNNNNNNNNNNNNNNNNNNNNNNNNNNNNNNNNNNNNNNNNNNNNNNNNNNNNNNNNNNNNNNNNNNNNNNNNNNNNNNNNNNNNNNNNNNNNNNNNNNNNNNNNNNNNNNNNNNNNNNNNNNNNNNNNNNNNNNNNNNNNNNNNNNNNNNNNNNNNNNNNNNNNNNNNNNNNNNNNNNNNNNNNNNNNNNNNNNNNNNNNNNNNNNNNNNNNNNNNNNNNNNNNNNNNNNNNNNNNNNNNNNNNNNNNNNNNNNNNNNNNNNNNNNNNNNNNNNNNNNNNNNNNNNNNNNNNNNNNNNNNNNNNNNNNNNNNNNNNNNNNNNNNNNNNNNNNNNNNNNNNNNNNNNNNNNNNNNNNNNNNNNNNNNNNNNNNNNNNNNNNNNNNNNNNNNNNNNNNNNNNNNNNNNNNNNNNNNNNNNNNNNNNNNNNNNNNNNNNNNNNNNNNNNNNNNNNNNNNNNNNNNNNNNNNNNNNNNNNNNNNNNNNNNNNNNNNNNNNNNNNNNNNNNNNNNNNNNNNNNNNNNNNNNNNNNNNNNNNNNNNNNNNNNNNNNNNNNNNNNNNNNNNNNNNNNNNNNNNNNNNNNNNNNNNNNNNNNNNNNNNNNNNNNNNNNNNNNNNNNNNNNNNNNNNNNNNNNNNAUUAUUUAGUGUGGUCAAUUGAUUCACCUUUCUUAUUUAGGGGACAGUACCUUGGGUACUACCUUAAUAGUCCUUAGGCACCACCUUAAUUUACCUUAGGUACUACCUUAAUGGACCUUAGGUACUACCUUAAUGUAGCUUAGGUACUACCUUAGUUAAACUUGGGUACUACCUAUCCGAAGCCUCGGAACUUCAAUUGUGGUCAUUACUUACUUCAUUUGUAACCCUUAAAGCAUUCUAUUAUGUGAUUAUUUAGGGGUUUCUUUGGUUUCUAUAGGCCGAUAUGGAAAUAUUGGUAAAAUAAAAACCUAACUUUCCCAUUCUAAAGUUAACCAUAUUAAUAUUAAAAAUAUUUUGGUUUCAUGCACUUUGAGCUUAUAUGUUUUUUGAUGCCAAAUUUACCCUCCAUUUAUUCCAGGUAAGCAUCCACAUGUUAAAAAAAAAAAAAAAAAACCAAAAAUUAAAAUUUCUUUCUUUCUUUCUCUCUUUUUUCUCUUUCUCCACCAAGCACCAAAGAAAACUCAAGAUCUCAUUUGUUCAUCUCCUUACCCUUCUCAAAACCUAAAGAAACGCUAAGAUUAAAACUUUACCUCCAUUUCCAUUUUGAUCGAUUCACCAACUUGAAAAUAUUGGGGAUUUUGAAAUCUCUCACCCAAUUAAUCUACUUUGUGUCUAUUCAUUUUGAUCAUCAUCAUCAUGGUCCUCUAAGAUUGGAUUUUUGGAUUGGUAUUUGGGUAUGCUCGAAACUCAUCCUCUCAUCACCAAAAUCAUUACAUCCUCCAUCUUCUUCUCAAUUGCUAACUUGAGUUGCAUUUUUCCCUAACCCCAAACCGAAAUCUGAAGGUAAAUAAUUUUUAUUUAUUGUUCUUUAGUUCAUUUGUUUGAAAAGGAGCACAUUAACGAUAUUGGAGUCGUUGGUGGACUUGAACUUUUGUGUUGGGUUGUGGAAACCAUAUUAUUCCCAAAUAACCAUAUAAUCUAUAAGUCGCAUUGAAUCAAGAUGGAACUUAUAACAUAUUUGGUUGCAAGUCACAUUGUUAUAUUGGGGGACUGUACCUUAGGUGCUACCUUAAUAGCCCUUAGGUACCACUUUAAUCAACCUUAGGUAUUACCUUAACUGAUCUUAGGUACUACCUAUCCGAAGCCUCAGAACUUCAUUUGUGACCCUUAGAGUAUGCCAUUAUGUGAUUAUUUUGUAUGGUCAAGUGGUUCACCUUUGGUAUUUUGAGGAUUGUACCUUAAGUACUACCUUAAUAGCCCUUAAGUACCACCUUAAUCAACCUUAGGUUCUACCUUAACCGACCUUAAGUACUACUUUAACCUACCUUGAUGAUGCAAUUAUAUACUAAGCAAGACCACCAACAUGGAUGUAUUGACCAUCUGAAUAUUCAGAUUCCUUCAACUUUCCCAAGAGAUUUACAAGGAAAUUUCCACUGUACCUCCUGUAUAACAACUAUAAGAAAUAAAAUUGUUAGUAUAACACUAGAAGAAAAUGACCGCAACUCAUGUAUACAAGCUUAAAGCUUAAGUGCUUGGGAUAUAAAGUAAAGGUUGGAAACAAGAGCAGACUGUAGAAUGAUGGGCACGUUAGAAGUGUAGAACAACAUAAUAAGAUAUGAACCCUGCUGUCUAUGAGCAUUAUUUGACCUCACAAGGCAAAACCACCUGAAACCCUUGGAAGUAGAUAACAAUAAGGAAGAUCAAUACUGUUGCAAGCAAAUUUGUCACAUUUGGAAGGUUCUGCCGAUAGAAAGCCUCCUGUAGAGGUCGAACUUUAUCUAUCCGAGUUGUUAGCAGAUAGAAGAGAGCAAUAACAACACCUUCAAAUUCAACUCCAUGAUCGCUAUUAAUAGUAGUGGGGCUAAAAGCCUUCCAGAUGAUGUUUUCACUACCAAUUGAUAAAAACAAUUAUCACUAUUUGAUAGUAGAGUUAAUGGUCAACCCAGAAAUGAGACCACCAUUCACUAGACACUGGCUGCUAGAUAGUAAAACUUCUUCAAAUAUUCCAUGUUCAAAUAUUAUUGAGAUUGGAGAUUUGACUACUUCACUGCAAAUAAAUUCCAUUUUUAAGAUUUGAUUGGCUUAAAGUGAAAUACAGAUCAGUUAAUAUUAUAACAUUUGAAUUGUUCGUAUGCACAAAUUGUCUUUAACUCAAUCUUAGAUUUCAAGGCAACACAUAUAAACUGCCGCUAUAAUAAUCCACCCAAUCCAAUUACACAAAGCAAAAAAGUAAAGAGACCUAAAGAGAGAAGAGGAGACUGUUUUGUUCACAAAGAUCAAACUAUUUGUUUUAAAAACUGCCUUUUGGGAGACUGUGCCACAAACUCUUUUAGUUUAAUUGUGAUUAUUCAAACAACGCACAAACAAGGAGAGAACAUAACUUACUGCCACAAAACCGCUUGUGUUUCAUCACUGAAAUGCGUCAAACCCAUCCCUCACAUUAGACAUGCUUGCAUGACCUUGUCUCUAGCAUUGUUUGCCUCGUUCAUGAGAAGUUCACUUCAAGCCUUAAUUUGUACAGAUGCAUCUUGUCUUAUACGCCGCACAAAAAAUCAUAGCCUGGUAUGGAAUAACUUCCACAAAACUAAUGAAUAACGUGUUGGUUGUGCUUACCCUCACGAGUGAAUGUUCUAGUAUGGCUUUGUUCCAAUAUUGCAUGUACUUGAUAGCGAACAUCCCAAAGUCAUAUCUACACCACCAAUUGCAUUUCAUUAGUCAAAUACAUACAUCAAGUGGAAAUACAACUAUAGUACUACCACAUAGGUCAUGAUAUGAAAAUUAUCACUAGGAAACUACUCUACCUAUUUCGUUGUUGCACAAUCUGAGGUUGCACAUGCAUGAAUUUGGACACCUCCAAUUGCUUGUGCAUGCCAUGUGCAUGGAAGGCUUUAUCAAUCGCCUCAAACAAUCUUCUUGUUACGACACUUAUGUCGUUACCCUUUUGUUAAAGCAAACAAGAUAAUAUUUCCACUUGUGCUGCUGGAAUGUUGAUAAUGUGGAUGUGCCAAUGGUUGUUGUCACAAACUGGGAAGAAAAAUUGCAUGAGGAUUGAGGAAAUUUCCAUUAAUAGGUUAGUCGGGAAAAAUCAGAUUUUUUAUUUAUUUAUAAAUGAAACGGAUCUUUGGCUAUGAAACGGAUAUUUGGCCAUGAAACGGAUAAUGGUUGUUUGAGUCAAUUGUUUUAUAAGAAACUUCCACUUUUAGUAAAUUAUUCUCAAUGUUUGUUGUUUGAACAUAUGCAAGCAACAUUCAUGGAACAUGAACAUGACAUAAUAAAUCACAUUAUUUUUAUGAAGAAUACAAUAAUUGGAGAUUUGUCGUAAAAUCACCAAGGUGAACAAACGAGCUUAUAACAUAUACAUGAAGAAGAUCAUCUUUUAAUUUGUAGUUUGGAUAGGUCCUGAAGAUAAGAGUUCCCCAACCUGGUACAGUAAUCCUAGUGGACACUUUUGAAACAACAAUUAUCAAUGUAUGAUAAAAACCAUUAAUUUUAAUUGUUGCAUUUUGACUAAUGGCUUUGCAGUUCUUCAAUAUAUUACUUUAAUUUUGAUAAGGGAGAUUUCAUUGACAUAGUCACUGGCUGUACUCACAUGUAGCAAGGAUAAAGGAACAGUUGCAAAAGGAAAAAGAAUUGAUGACAUCUUUGGAAGCUGGAAUUAUUAUGUCUCGGAGUCCAUUACCUAUCUUAGCUACUAGUGACUUCCAAAGUUGGCCUAUGUCCACAUUUAACAAGUAUAUGAGCCCUUGGUCCUACACCAGAAUUUAACAUUUAAAUGUGCUAAAGGUGAAGGCAAAGCUUGGGGAAGUUGCUUUUAUGGAGGCAAAUGUACUUAAUAUCAAGCAAAAGGUUGAUGAUUUGAGUGCUCAACUUAAGGAUAGAAUGUGAAGUAAACUAUGGUCCUAUGCACGAUUCAUGAAGUGAGCCCCAAAGAUCACAAAAUAAAACAAAACUGUAAGUCCUUAUUUACUCUAAUUCCUAGUUUUGUUACAAGUGACUUAGGUAUGAGAUAUAUAAUUAGUAUUUAGUGUCUACUAACUUUAAUGUGUGUGGCAAGCCUAUUUAAGCUUGUUUGGUAUAGCUAUAACUUCUGGUAAAGUAUUUUUCGACAAAUUUUUGAACAAAAGAGAGGUUGCUAUUUAGCAUAUAACAUAAAUUUUAAGUUUGAAAUAUUCUAAUUGAUGCUAUUAAGCAAAAGUAUCCAACUAACAAAUUUACUAAAGGAGUUUUUACCAAAUAAUGCCAUCUUUAACUUUAAGUGGUUUUGCUAUAAGUAGAGAGACUGUAAAACUCUUAUUAACAAUAUUGUGAAAAGGUAAUAUGAAGUCAAACAAUUGCAUUUCAACAAAAUAUUCAUGUUCGGAAAUAGAUCAUAUGUACAGAGUGACUUUAUUUUGAUGAAACGAUUAUGAAGGAAACGGUUUUGUACAUAGGUUGAUGAUGAAACGAAAUCUUUUGCUCUUAUUUUUUCCUUAUCUGAUUAUAGGAAGGAUAAACAGAAGAUUGUUGAAACUACAUCUACUUCACAUCUUCAUGAAAAGUCAACGCAGAAUAAGGUAUAUCUUGAAGUGCAUCCAAAUCAUUAAUUUCCAAUGUUGAGACAUCCAUGAAAUUUGGACAUCAUAAACCAUCGUUCUAUAGGCUAAUAAAAAAUGGUUGAAAUUUAUAGUAUAUUGAAUCUAAAUUACAACUUUAAUCCACAUUUCUUAAACAUAAAGUGAUAUCAAUGACAAUCUAACAAUGUAGACAUAAAUGGGUGCAAGAAACCUUCAUUUAAGGUAAACGUAUAUAACCUAAUCUUUACGAUACGAGGAUAACAUUGAAAUGUUUGAAGCUUAAACACAAACUAAGGUACAUACAUCCCACCCAACCUUGAUAUUCUUAGAAUAUAUAUAGAAAUUCAUGUAGAGAAUAAGCACAAUGGGUUAUCCAACAAAAUGAAGUAAUUCAAUGUUUUUUUUCAUAUAUUUCAAGUUGAAAAAUCUAUCCAAAGAUGGAGCCUACACAGGUAAUGGAGUGAUCAAGAAAUUCAAUAGGGAAACAAAAAUUGAAAGACUGUAUGCCAUGGAAAUUCAAAAUAAUGCUACAUGAAUAACAAUGUGAGUUGAUUUCCUAUGUUAAUGUAUAACAUACUUCAGUGAUUUAUGCUUACUGGGACAUCCAAGCACGUCAUAAAAGUUUUAAAGAACAAAAAAAAUGAGGCAUAGCAUAAACAUAGCCUAUCAAAAGAAAUAAUGUGUAUUUGCUAUCUUAAUCAUGACCAUAGAAUUGAAUGUUGUAACUGGUUCAAAGUACACAAAAUAUAACAAAAAACACACCUUCCUCUCUAUAGCCACCUUUAGUUUAUCCCAAAAUGCAUAUGCAAAACACACCCACAUAAAUAAAGAUUAAUUUAAUUUGUAUGCCAACUGAACUAUGAGCUAAAAAUAGACCUGCAACAAAGUUCAAUAAGCCCCUUAGAAAUCUCCAUUUUUUUUCAACUACUGAUAUUCACAUAGGCUUUCAAGUGAAAGAAAAAUUAUUAAUAGAAACUCAGUCCUUGAGGCAUGGCUAAAGUGAUAAAGGGUUGAGAUGGGUUUGUAGGAGGUUCCAAGAUCAAGUCCUAAUGGGGGGCAAAAAUAAAUAAAUAAAUUGAAAAGAAAAACUUUAGAUGCAAUUGUUGAAGCUCCAAAAGAAAAUAAAGGAAAAUAUAUUUUUAUAAUAAUAGGGGACUAAAAUUAGAGUUAGGUCCCAAGAGUCAAUUAGUAAAAUUUUAACCAUAACUAUAAAGCUCAGAAAAAGCAAUUGGAUCCAACAUACUUUUAGAACAGAAGAAACCUCCAUACAAUCUGUUGAAAGUGCUUAAAGCCUUUAAAACAAUGUCAUUGAUGCAUAUCAUUUUACAGGAAAAUGGGUAAAACUCUGCUUCUACAUGCAAUAAGUAUGAAAUUUUCUAUUACAUCUGAAAACAACCAAAUAUAAAGAACUAUGGUGUAUGAAUAGUCAAUGACUGGCUAGCUUUCAAUGAGCUAGAAACCAAACAAUUGAUUUUAUAGUGCUAAAAAUUUGCUGAAUUUGCUAAAUCGAAAAAACAAAGAACAAAAAUUCCAUCUAUGUGUGACAUUUUUGAGAUUUAAAAGCCUCAAGCACUAAGCAUCUUUUGAAAUCAGUGUUCCAUUAAGUCAACCAUUUUCCUAUUGAAUUGUGUUCAUUUGUGCAAAAUACCAAACAUAACAAAUGGGCAGACACUGGUUUUUUUAUUUUUUAUUUGGUAUUUUUAUCACUUUAUAAGGCUAUUAGGUAGGCUCCAAUAGACUACCCAAAUCAAAUAAUUAAUUUCCAACUAAAAUGGAUCUAAAAUCUCAUAAUAUCAAGUUAUCAACUUGAAAAAUAGAUCAUGUUUAGCCAAUAGAAAAAUUAUACAAAUGAACUUCAUGAGUGGAUGGCAUACCAUGUAAGUUAAUUCCUUGAAUCUCAAUUUUCCUUCCAUUCCCUUCAUCCAAAGAAUUUUGCCUCUUCAACUGUUGUGAUAAGACUGAAUGUCAGAACAAUCAACUUGCACAUUUCUAUUUGCAACAACUAAUCUAGCAUCCAAUAGAUAGAAAUCAACAUAAAAUCAUAUAAAACAGUUGCAAUGAUACCGCCCUAUCUUGUGAUGACUGGGAAGUUGAUUGUCUUGAUGAUUUCGAGUUUGCCUGAACUUGUGAAAAGUGAGUUGGAAACAAAAGUUAGUGCAUAUAUAAGCUUUCCAGAUUUGGACAAUAUACUUCAAACUAGAACAGUAAAUGGUAAGAGAAUUGCACAGAUGUAAUACCAUUGAAUUGUAUCACAGAAAAUAUCCAUAGAGAUUUUAAGUUUUCCACAAUAUUUUUAAAUAAAAAUCAAGAUCAAGUGGUAAUUUUGAAUAAUUUAAAUAUAUUUAUAUCUCAAUUUCCAAAAAAAAAAAAAAAAUCAACCACAACAUAGAAGUCCAAUCCAUGAUAUUGUUAAGUAUUUUUUUUUUUUUUUAUCACCACUUGAAACACAAUUGAUGCAGAAACUAGCCUUAAAAUACAAACCUAAUGCAGAUCACUUUGUUAUAGUACUUUUUUUCUUUGUUGGAAAGUUGGAGAGACCCAUGAUUCUUGGUGACCAAGUAUAUACAUGGCUAAGAAUAAGUUUAGAAACUAUUCAAGCAUAUGUGUGAUUACUACUCAAAAAGUGCUCUUUUAUAGCUUGAAAUUAACUAUUUUAAACACUUUUGAGUAGUAGUUAAUACUUUUUAACUCAAUUGGCACAUUAAGGAACCUAGCAAGGGUUACUAAUCAGUUUUUGGCUAGUUUUGGUGUUUUUGGUAGCUUUUUGAUCAUUGAAACAAACAAAGAAUGAGGGAGAAUUUUGUGCAAUCCAUGGCAAUGCAAGUUGAAGCUCAAAUACAUGAAGAAUCCGAGUUUUGGAGCACUUCAUAGCCCUUUUCCAAGCUUGGCAAUAGGUUGCCAAGCCAAUCAGAGAUGCAUGGAAGAAAACUAGAGGAAAAAAUCUAACAUGUAGCAAUUUCGCAUGUCUAUGCGAAAAUUUCGCAAAGCAUGCAAAAUCAAGAGGAGGAGCAGUUGCAGGACUGAGUGAAGGACAAUUUUGCAGACCUUGCAAAACCACAAGAUGCAACAAAAAUGAAUUUCGCACACCAUGUGAAAUUUAGCAUGGUCUGCGAAAUCUUCCUGUGCACCGACUCCGUUAGAUUUUUAUCUCCAGAUUUUUUAUGUAAAUUACUAUUUUCUCCUUGUAAUCAACCAAUGAUAGGAUUUCUUAGUUAGGAACUAUAAAGGGGGGUUGGAAAGACCUCUCUAUGUAUAAUAUAUUUUUGUAUAAUCUUUUGAAGGAUAGACGACACUUGUAAUUCCCGUAGGAAGAAAUAUACAGAUCCAUUGCUCUACAUUUCCUUCUCAUUUUGUUUUCAUUUUUCUUUCUAGCCAAACAACCUCUAAGGAUGAUUUCUCAGGGGAUGAGUGGCUAAGUUUUACGUUUCUUGGAGUGAUGGAAACUAAGUGUAGGACCCGGAUGCAAAUGUGAGAGUUUUCAUUGCUUUAAAUGAAGGUAGUUGUUAACCAUUAAUGGUUUUUAUUUCAAGGUUUAGCUUUAAAUUCCUUAGAAUCACCUUGAAUGGCCAAUACUUGGUAAGCUUUUCGGAUUCUAUGGAUGCUUAUUGCUAGAUCCAUGGAUGUCCAUUAGUUAUCAAGUACGAGCCAUUGGAAGGUGGUUCAAGGUGAGAAUCACCUUGAAUGGUCAAUACUUGGUAAGCUUUCUAGAUUCUACGGAUGCUUAUUGCUAGAUCCAUGGAUGUUCAUUAGUUAUCAAGUACGAGCCAUUGGAGGGUGGUUCAAGGUGAGGGUCUUUAGUGUUUGAAGCCAUUAAUGGAAAACAACUACCAUUUUUCAUGAACCAUUUGGAUCAAAUCUUAAUUGCUAAAUACAAAACCGGUUCAGGAGAUAACCAUCCUUUAUGUUAUUGUCCUCAAUGCGAGGAGAAGAUUCGGAAUCUCCCCCUUUGCCUAAGGAACCUGAUCGUAGUGACUUAAAGCUCCAAGAGACAUUCUCUUUGUAGUUAACUUCAAUUGUUAUUUUUGCUUAACUUAAAAUCAACUUUUUCAACCACAAUUCCAUUUUCUUUAAAAGCUAAUUUUCAUAAGGAAAAACACCAUUUCAUUACCUUCACUAAAUUCACUUGUACGAAGAAAACCCAUCCCUGUGGACGAUUCUAGAGCCACUAUACUAUAGUAGCCAUGCUACCCUAGUGUAAGGUGAUUUAGGUUUUAUAAAUUUUGUUGAUAACACCCGUCUGGCGCAAUAAUCAAAUGACACCUUUGCUGGGGAAGAAUCAAAUGGCACAGCUACCGAGGAUGGUGCCAAAGUACAUUGACAUUACUUUUGAUGAACAUUUGUGAUCUUCAUCACAAGUUUGGUGAUUUUUCUUUUACUAAGUUUUUUUCUUUGUCUCUAUUUUAGCUUAUCUUUUAUUUAGUUUUUAGCUAACCUUAACCGCUUCCUAGAAUUGUAUUUCUUUUGUUUUCUUUGUUUUUGUUUCAAUGAUCUCUAGUUGUGCAUGCCCUAUUGGAUAAGAGAUAUUGAAGGAAGACUUGUGAAGAUUGAAACUCCUCAAGAAACUAAGUUUGAAGUGUGCUUGAACAUCAUGGAUGUUCCACCUGAAGACCAGAAUAACCAACAUGGUCAAGAGGAUAAUUUCAAUGCAUACUGAUCCAUGAGGAACCCCAUGCAUCCACCUCGUAUGAGUGCACCUUUAUGCAUAGUGCCUUUCACUGAACAUCUAGUAAUCCGACCUCACAUUGUGCCACUCCUACCUACUUUCCAUGGGAUGGAAAGUGAGAAUCCCUACUCGCAUAUUAAGGAAUUCAAGGAGGUUUGUAAUACAUUCCAAGAAGGAGGAGCUUCAAUUGACUUGAUGAGGCUCAAGCUAUUUUCUUUCACCUUGAAGGAUAAGGCCAAUAUUUGGCUCAAUUCUCUAAGGCCAAGGAGUAUCCGAACUUGGCCUGAUUUGCAAGCCGAGUUUCUCAAGAAGUUCUUCCCUACUCAUAGGACCAAUGGUUUGAAAAGGCAAAUUUCGAACUUCUCAGCUAAAGAGAAUGAGAAAUUUUAUGAGUGUUGGGAGAGGUACAUGGAAGCUAUUAAUGCUUGUCCUCACCAUGGCUUUGACACAUGGCUCUUAGUGAGCUAUUUUUACAAUGGUAUGUCUUUUUCAAUGAAGCAACUCCUAGAAACUAUAUAUGGAAGAGACUUCAUGAGUAAGAAUCCGGAGGAAGCCAUGAAAUUUUUGAGUUAUGUGGUUGAAGUUUCAAGAGGAUGGGAUGAACCAAAUGCUAGAGAGGUGGAAAGAAUGAAGUCUCAACCUAAUGCUAAGGGUGGGAUGUAUGUUUUGAAUGAAGACAUUGACAUGAAGGCAAAGGUUGCAGCUAUGGCAAGGAGAUUGGAAGAGUUAGAAAUGAAAAAGGUACAAGAAGUGCAAGCUAUUUCUGAGACAUCAGUGCAAGCUAUGCCUUGUUCCAUUUGUCAAUCUUAUGAGCACUUGGUGGAGGAGUGUCCUACCAUUCCAGUAGUGAGAGAGAUGUUUGGUGAUCAAGCAAAUGUUAUUGGUCAAUUCAAGCCCAAUAAAAAUGCUUCAUAUGGCAACACCUACAAUUCAAAUUGGAGGAACCAUCCAAAUUUCUCUUAGAAACCAAAGCCACCUCAGUACGUGAUUACUACCGAAAAGUGCUAUUUUGUAGACCUAAUUAUAAGGGUUUUAAGCACCUUUGAGUAGUAAUCAUAUUCAUUUAACCCAAUUAAUUCAUUAAGCUCCUUAGUAAUUAGUUCUAACCAUUUUUAGUGGCAAGUUUACAUGUUUUUCAUCAACUUAUGAACCAAUUCAAGCAUGCCAAUUGAUGGAGGAGCUACUUGGGCGAGUUAAGCAAGGAUUUUGGACGUUUACAGGCUUGAAUUUCAAGUGGAAACACGAGCACAAGCAAUGGGAACACCAUUUUGCAAGGGGAGGCAAUUCACCUUGCCAAAUGAACAAUUUCGCAAGGUGAAUUUCACCUUACCAAAAUUUCGCAAGGGGAUUUUCCUCAUGGUGCGAAAUUUGGCCAUUUCGCACCAUGAAGAAAACACCUUGCGAAAUUUCGCAAGGUGGAUUUAGGCACCUUGCGAAAUGACAAAUUUGAGACGUUGUUGAUGAUAUUCCACUGCCGGUUCUCCAAGAUAUUUUGCUUGACUUUUAGCUUUGUAAAUACCUAUUUUAUCCUUGUAAUCAACCAAUGAAAAGGUUGCUUUUGUAAUAGCUCUUGUAAUUUAGCUUUUUAUUGUCUUUAAAUAGAGGUGAAGAGCCUCAGACACGAUCAUCUUGUAACCUGUAACUUUAUAAGUUGUAAGAGCACUUUUGUUCAUACGCUUCUUUUAUCUUUUCUUUCUCAUUUUCUUAGUAGCCAAACAUCCUUGGAGGAUGAAAUCCCCAAGGAUGAGAGGCUAAAACCUUUUAUUUUCUUGAAGUAAUGGAUGCCAUGUGAAGCUCCCGUGUCAGGAUGGAGAUUUCCAAGCCAUAAAUGUAAGUAGCUGAGCGUCAUAAAUGUUUUCAUUCAAAGUAAAGCUUUUAAUCCCUUUGACUUGCUUUGAAUGACCAAUACUUGGUAACCUUUUGGUCUCAGUGGAUUCUUAUUGUUAGAUCCACUGACGUUCAUUAGUUAUCUUCUACGAGCCAUUGUAUUGCAAGUCAAGGAGAUGACCUAUACCAAUAAAAGAGCAUUUAUGAGGUUCAACUACCCUUUUUGUAAGUUUUCAAGGACUAAAACUCAGUUGUUAAACUCAUACCGGUUCGGGAAGUAAGCAUCACCUUAGUUGCUUCCCCAACUCGAGGUGAAGAGUCCCAAAAUCUCAAUUUUUACACAGUGAGUUAAGCAUGGCUAUCCAAAGCUUUGAGAAACUUCUUUUUCCAUCUUUUAACCUAUUUUCAUGUUAGUUUAGUUUACAACGCCUUCAUCUUUUUAUGUUUUCAUUUUAACCUAAUUUUUAUUAAGAAAAGUUCACUCCAUCCUCCGAACUUCACUAGUUAAAGUAAAAACCCUUCCCAGUGUUCGAUCCUAGAGCCACUAUGCUAUAGUAGCUUUGCUACUUUAGUGUAAGGACCUUAGGUAUAAUUUUUGUUGAUACCCUUACAUGCCAAGCUACCAAGAGGCGGGUUAUCAGUACGCACAACCUGCUCAAGCACCUCAGCAAGACUCGAAUCUUGAACAAGCUAUUGUGAACCUUAGCAAGGUUGUGGGAGACUUUGUGGGAGAUCAGAAGUCCAUCAAUGCUUAACUGAAUCAAAAAAUUGAUAGUGUGGAGAGUACAUUGAACAAAAAGAUGGAUGAGAUGCAAAAUGAUCUGUCUUAGAAGAUAGACAAUGUCCAAUACGCAAUCUCAAGGCUUACCAACCUCAACACAGUGCAAGAGAAAUGAAAGUUUCCUUCUCGACCUCAUCAAAAUCCUAAGGGUAUCCAUGAAGUGGAGGCUCAAGAGGGAGAAUAUUCAAAGGUGAGGGAAGUCAAAACAGUUAUCACCUUGAGGAGUGGUAAAGAGGUUGAUCAGCCCACAUCCAAGCCAAAGCAUGAUGAAGAGAGUGUAGCAGAAAAAGAAAAGAGUGAGGAAAUUAAAGAAAAGAGAAAAGAGAAAAGUACAAAGAAAGAUGACCAUGAUUCUAGUGUGGAUGAAGAACCCGAGAGGAUAGUCAUCAAGGAAGAUAUGAUGAAGAAACACAUGCCUCCACCUUUUUCCCAAGCUUUGCAUGGAAAAAAGGGAACCAAUAAUGCAUAAAAAAUGUUUGAAAUGUUGAGGCAAGUGAAGGUCAAUAUCCCUUUGCUAGACAUGAUUAAACAAGUGCCGACAUAUACAAAAUUCUUGAAGGACUUGUACACUGUAAAAAGAGGGUUGAAUGUGAACAAUAAAGCCUUCUUGACUGAGCAAGUGAGUGCCAUCAUAUAGUGCAAGUCUCCAGUGAAGUACAAAGAUCCGGGUUGCCCUACCAUCUCAGUAAGUAUUGGAGGGACUUGUGUGGAGAAAACUUUGUUGGACUUGAGAGCAAGUGUGAAUUUUCUACCCUACUCUGUUUACACGCAGUUAGGACUUGGAGAGUUAAAGCCAACAUCCAUCACUCUAUUUCUGGCAGAUAGAUUAGUGAAGAUUCCAAGAGGGAUGAUCAAAGCUGUCUUGGUUCAAGUUGACAAAUUCUACUAUCCAGUGGAUUUUGUUGUUCUUGAUACGAAUCCGGUUGUCAAAGGAACUAAUUAUGUUCCUAUCACACUUGGAAGACCAUUCCUAGCUACAUCAAAUGCAAUCAUCAAUUGUAGGAAUGGAGUCAUGCAACUCAUGUUUGGUAGCAUGACAGUAGAGCUCAACAUCUUCCAUUUGUGCAAGAAGCAUAUCCAUUCGGAAGAAGAAGAAGGUCCAAAGGAAGUGUGCAUGAUUGACACUUUAGUGGAGGAGCAUUGUGAUAAGAGAAUGCAGGAGGAUUUGAUUGAGAGUCUUGGGGAUCUUGAUGAAGGGUUACCUGAACCCUCAGAUUUGCUUGCUACCCUGUCUCUUUGGAGGAGGAUAGAAGAAAUUAUACCCUUAUUCAAUGAGGAGGAGACACAAAAAGCUGCUAAGGAGGAGCCCCCAAAGCUUAUUCUUAAGCCACUACCCAUAAAGUUGAAGUAUGCAUACUUGGAAUAAGACAAGUAGUGCCCUAUUGUUAUAUCUUUAGCUUUUACCAUUCAUCAGGAGGAUUGUCUACUUGAAGUCCUUAGAAGAUGUAAGAAGGCAAUAGGGUGGCAAAUUUCUAAUUUGAAAGGGAUCAACCCUUUAGUCUGCACCCAUCAUAUUUACAUGGAGGAUGAAACUAAGCCAGUUCGUCAACCUCAGAGAAGGUUGAACCCUCACAUGCAAGAGGUGGUGUGAGCUGAAGUUCUUAAGCUGCUUCAGGCUGGUAUUAUCUACCACAUAUCAGAUAGCCUAUAGGUGAGUCCUACUCGAGUUGUGCCAAAGAAGUCUGAGAUCAUGGUGGUGCAAAAUGAUAAGGGGGAAGAUGUCUCUACAUGCCUCACUACAGGUUGGAGGGUGUGUAUCGAUUAUAAGAGGUUGAAUGCAGUGACAAGGAAGGACCAUUUCCCAUUGCCCUUUAUUGAUCAGGUGCUUGAGAGGGUCUCUGGGCAUCAUUUUUAUUGUUUCUUGGAUGGCUACUUCGGAUACUUUCAAAUAGAAAUUGAUGUUGAAGACCAGAAGAAGACCACUUUCACGUGCCCAUUUGGCACCUAUAUAUGCAUAUAGGAGAAUGUCUUUCGGCUUAUGCAAUGCACCCGCAACUUUCCAAAGAUGCAUGUUAAGCAUUUUCAGUGAUAUGGUGGAGCGUAUUAUGGAAGUCUUUAUGGAUGAUAUCACCAUAUAUGGAAGUGCAUUUGAUGAAUGCUUGGUCAACUUAGAAGCUGUUCUGAACCGAUGCAUUGAGAAAGACUUAGUGCUUAACUGGGAGAAGUGCCAUUUCAUGGUACAACAAGGGAUUGUCCUUGGGCACAUCAUCUCCAAGCAAGGCAUUGAAGUUGACAAAGCAAAGGUUGAACUCAUUGUCAAGUUGCCAUCCCCAACAAAUGUCAAAGGAAUAAGACAAUUCCUUGGCCAUGUCGGGUUCUAUAGGAGGUUUAUCAAGGAUUUCUCUAAGCUUGCAAGGCCUCUUUGUGAACUAUUGGUGAAUGAUGCUAAAUUCAUAUGGGAUGAUAGAUGCCAAAGGAGUUUUGAAGAAUUGAAGCUAUUUCUGACAACCGCACCAAUAGUGAGGGCUCCCAACUGGCAACUACCCUUUGAGGUAAUGUGUGAUGCCAAUGACUUUGCCAUAGGAGCUGUUCUUGGGCAAAGAGAAGAUGGAAAACCCUAUGUGAUCUAUUACGCGAGCAAGACAUUGAAUAAGGUGUAAAGAAACUACACAACCAUCGAGAAAGAAUUAUUAGCUGUAGUUUUUGGCUUGGAUAAGUUUUGUGCUUACUUGGUGGGGUCCUUCAUUGUGGUUUUCACUGAUCACUCUGCUUUGAAGUAUCUGUUGACUAAGCAAGAUGCUAGAGCAAGGUUGAUUAGAUGGAUCCUCUUGCUUCAAGAGUUCAAUCUCCAGAUCAAAGACAAGAAAAGAGUGGAGAAUGUGGUAGCAAACCACCUUUCAAGGCUAGCUAUCGCACAUAAUUUCCAUGGUUUGCCCAUCAAUGAUGAUUUUCCAGAAGAGUCUCUCAUGUUGGUGAAAGUUGCUCCUUGGUAUGCUCAUAUUGCUAACUAUCUAGUCAUAGGAAAAAUUCCAAGUGAGUGGAAAACACAUGAUAAGAAGCACUUCUUUGCAAAAAUUCAUGCCUACUAUUGGGAAGAGCCAUUUCUAUUCAAGUAUUGUGCGAAUAAGAUAAUAAAGAAGUGUGUUCUUGAAGAAGAGCAACAGUGGAUCCUCAGUCAUUGCCAUGAAAAUGCAUGUGGAGGCCACUUUGCUUCUCAGAAGACAACCAUAAGGGUGUUGCAAUCGGGUUUUUGUUGGCCAUCACUUUUCAAAGAUGCCCACACCAUGUGCAAGAGUUAUGAUCGAUGCCAGAGGGUUAGGAAGUUGACAUGCAGGAACAUGAUGCCUUUGAACUGUGGACCCGCAUUUUUCACGUGCGUCCCCACUCGAUCGGCGAGACUCGCUUUUUAUUUAUUUGUGAAAAUUUGAUUUUUUGAAAAAAAGUUGGAGUCGCCACUUAUUUUAUUUUUAUUUUUAUUUUUGAAGGGAAAAUAAAACAAGAAAUAAAACCCUAAAAAAAAUGACUCCAUAAUUUUUGGAAAAGCGUGUCUUUGAAAACCCAAGUCUUGGUCCGGGGAUCCGGUUACUUAUUGGGAAGGUACCUCUAGGAGGUAGCACCCCUCUAAGCCCUAAAGAGGUCUCUACUAAUUAAGUUAAGGGGAAUAUGGCAAUUAAUCGGUUAAUUAUGGAUACCUAAGUAGGCUAGGUGAUUUCAAAAGAUUUGCAUGCUAAACAAGAUCAAAUCACAAAAAACGGAGAGUUAGGGUGCGUACCUGAACCGCUCUUCAAGCGCUAUCAUAAAACAUCAGAGUUAGUAUAGAAGUAUAACACACAACAUGUAUUUAAUCAUAGUGAAUCAAGCAUACAUCUAAACACCUAAGGAUUAUCAAACAUAUGCAUACUUCACAGUGACAUGAUUGUUUACAAAAUUUAGAAAGUAGGUGAUAGGGGGGUGUACCUGGAUAGCAUAGAUAACUUACAAUGCGCUUCCAUAAGACAUGAGGGAUUAGAUAAUAAUAAAAUAAAGAAACCCUAGCAUGCUUGUUAUCUAAUUAGCAUAACAAAAAUUAUCAAAGUAUAUGAAAACAUUAAUUAUCACACACAUCUUGUAUACAAUUCCUAAAAAAGAUAGACAUAAUUUCAACAAGUGACAAAAAUGGCAACAAAAAUAAUUUUUGAAAAGAUUUUCUUAUGUAGGGGUUUCACCAAUUCCCCAAUUGAUAUACACGAAUUUAGCCCAGAAUCAUCCCAUUAUUUGGGACCACAAGCUUUGAUUCGUGUUUUUGUUCAAAACCAAAAUUUUUGUUGAAAACCGAGAAGGAUGCAAACCGAACAAGAUAUGGUUGCAUAUUAUUUUUAAAUAAUAAUAAAAAAAGAGAUUUUGAUCCUGAGGACUCUAAAUGAGUUUUUGAAAUAGAUUUUUAAAAUGAUUUUUUUGAGAAAAGUAUUUUAUUUUAAAAUAAAAGGAAUUAAUUUGGAAAAAAUAAAAUAUAAGAAAUAAAAUACCCAACAAAACAAAAAUGAAACCUCAAAGUAAAAUUUUUUUAGUAAUUAACAAAAAUGAUAAUGGUGAUGGUAGAGGCCAAUCUUCAUGAUUUUCCAAUGGCCUUUGAACAAAAAGGAAACUAUCAAAAUAAUAAAUUAUUAAUAUUUAGAUCAAAUAAGCUAAUGAAAUAUCCAUCAAGAAUUAGCAACAAGGAUUCAAGAAGCGCAUAAAUUGAGAAUAACAAUCCAUAAUUAACAUAAGAUUAACUAAACACAUAAAUGCCUCUAGACUAAAAAAAUAAAUUAAAUCAAGGUUAAACUUUAUCUAACGGGAUUAAUUAAACUAAUGUAUUCAAAUCACAAACACAUACAAGUGAAGAACAAAUUAAAACUAAAUUAAAUUGUAAUUAAAAACAUGAACUUUAUUUAAUAAGAUUAAUUAAACUACUAAAUUACAAUUACAAACACAUCCAAAUUAAAAAUAAAUAAAAGCUAAACUAAAUCGGAAUUUCAAAUAUGAACUUUAUCUAACAAGAUUAUUUAAACUAAUGAAUUAAAAUCACAAAUAUACUUAAACUAAAAGAUAGGUUAAAACUGAACUAAUUUAGAAUUAAAAAAAUAUAAACUUUAUCUAACAUGAUUAUUUAAACUAAUAAAUUAAAAUCACAUACAUAUUUAAACUAACAAAUAAAUUAAAAAUAAACUAUUUUGGGAUUAAAAACAUGAACUUUAUCUAACAUAAUUAUUUAAACUUAAGAAUUAAGAUCAACUAAUGCAUUUAAACUAAAAACGAAUUGAAAUCAAACUAAUUGAGAUUAAAAACACAAACUUUAUUUAACGUGAUUAUUUAAAGUAAAGAAUUAAAAUCAACAAAAUACAUUUAAACUAAAAACAAAUUAAAAUCAAAUUAAUUGGGAUUAAAAAUACAAAAUUUAUUCGAUAUGAUUAUUUAAACUAAAGAAUUAAGAUCAACAAAAUACAUUUAAACUAAAAAACGAAUUGAAAUCAAAUUAAUUGGGAUUAAAAAUACAAACUUUAUUUAACGUGAUUAUUUAAAACAAAGAAUUAAGAUCAACUAAUGCAUUUAAAUUAAAAAUGAAUUGAAAUCAAACUAAUUGGGAUUAAAAAUACAAACUUUAUUCAAUACAAUUAUUUAAACUUAAGAAUUAAAAUCAACUAAUGCAUUUAGAUUAAAAAUGAAUUGAAAUCAAACUAAUUGGGAUUAAAAAUACAAACUUUAUUCAAUACAAUUAUUUAAACUUAAGAAUUAAAAUCAACAAAAUACAUUUAAACUAAAAAACAAGUUAAAAUCAAACUAAUUGGGAUUAAAAAUACAAACUUUAUUCGAUAUGAUUAUUUAAACUUCAGAAUUAAGAUCAAUAAAAUGUAUUUAAACUAAAAACGAAUUGGAAUCAAACUAAUUGAGAUUAAAAACAUAAACUUUAUUUAACGUGAUUAUUUAAAGUCAAGAAUUAAGAUCAACAAAAUACAUUUAAACUAAAAAACAAAUUAAAAUCAAACUAAUUGGGAUUAAAAAUACAAACUUUAUUCGAUAUGAUUAUUUAAACUAAAGAAUUAAGAUCAACAAAAUACAUUUAAACUAAAAAACGAAUUGAAAUCAAAUUAAUUGGGAUUAAAAAUACAAACUUUAUUUAACGUGAUUAUUUAAAACAAAGAAUUAAAAUCAUUAACAAACUUAAACUAAAAGAUAGAUUAGAAUUAAACUAAUUGGGGAUUUAAAAAGAAAAAAAUAUAAACUUUAACACAAAGAAUUAAUCAAAAACUAAAAUUUCCAAAAAAAAAAGCUAGGCUAAAUAAAAGUACUAUAUAGAAAACUAACCUUUGAAGUGAAAGAGAAAAUCCUCUCUUGAUGAUUAAAUGACAGCCCGAUCUCCGUUCGAAGUCCCUUGCUUUUUUCCAAAAUUCCGUGUGCUCUGCCCCCCAAGAAAAAUCCCUCCUUCUUUUCCUUUUCUCACCUAUAUAUAUCACCCCUCAAGACCUAAAUUUGUUUCCGAAAAGGAAAAUUCUCCUCCUUCCUUUCUUCUUCUCUUCUUUUUUUAAAUCCUCCAAUCAAAAGCAAUCUUCCCAAUUUCAAAUCCCCCUCCAAAACCUUCCAAGGAGAGUCCCAUCUUCCUUAAACUCCAAUGGUAAGUUUCCUUGCAAAAACAUGAAAUUUUUGAAGUUAAAUAAUUGCAUGUAUAGAUAAAUAAGUAAAUAAAUUAAAAAAUGGUAAAAAUAAUAAAUAAAUAAAUAAGUUAAGGAAAAUAAUAUAAAGAGGAAGAUAACCAAUAAAAAGUGAAUGAUAAUCAUAAAAUUAAAAUUAAAAACAAAAUAAAUAAAUAAAUAAAUAAAAUAAAAUAAAAUAAAAUAAAAGUCUUCGUAGGCCUAGUGUGCCUAAACGGGCCUAAGGUGAGACUAAGUGGGCCUAGGGUAGUGCCUAAUGGGCCAAGUGUAUCUAAAAGCUAUCCUAAAAAAACAAGAAAAGCCUAAGUCUAAGUUAGGGCUGCCAAGGGUCACAAUAAGGGAUCAAAUAAUCCCUCAACCAAAAUCUCCGAGGUGACUCAGAAAAAGGUAAGUGGUAUGAGUAGCCAUGGGCCACCAAGGAACUAUUGUGGAGCAUUGAAAAUGAAUUUUAAAGACAUGUGCUAAAGGGACAAAAUUGAGGGUCUACAUGAACCCUAUUUUGAUAGUUGAUUUUUUUUAUGUUUGGGGCAUUGACUUCAUGGGACCAUUCGCUAUGUCUUUUGGCUACUCUUACAUCUUGGUGGGAGUAGAUUAUGUUUCUAAGUGGGUUGAGGUAGUCCUAUGCAAGCACAAUGACCAUAUAGUGGUUAUCAAAUUUCUUAAGGAGAACAUCUUCUCAAGAUUUGGGGUGCCCAAAGCCAUAAUUAGUGAUGGGGGUACUCAUUUUUGCAACAAGCCUUUUGAAACUCUCUUAUCCAAGUAUGAGGUGAAGCAUAAGGUAGCUACACCUUACCACCCUCAAGCUAGUGGGCAAGUUGAGUUAGCAAACUGGGAGAUUAAAAACAUAUUGAUGAAGGAGGUGAACACGAACAAAAAAGAUUGGUCUGUCAAGCUCCUUGAUUCACUAUGGGCAUAUAGAACAACUUACAAGACCAUUCUUGGGAUGUCUCCUUAUCGCCUAGUCUAUGAAAAAACAUGCCAUCUUCCUGUGGAAUUGGAAUACAAGGCUUAGUGGGCAAUCAAACAGCUCAACAUGGAUUUGAGCAGCGUUGGGUUGAAGAGUUUCUUAAACCUCAAUGAGUUGGAGGAACUGAGAAAUGAUGCCUACAUCAAUUCAAAAAUUCUAAAAGAGAGAUUAAAGAAGUGGCAUGAUCAGUUGGUUUUCCGCAAAGAUUUUCAAAAGGGACAAAGAGUCUUGCUCUAUGACUCUAAGCUCCACAUCUUUUUAGGCAAGCUGAAAUCAAGGUGGAUAGGUCCUUUUACCAUUCACCAAGUGCAUUCAAAUGGAGUAGUGGAACUACUCAACUCCAACAACACCAGUAACUUCAAAGUGAAUAGCCACCGUCUCAAGCCUUUUGUGGAGCCUUUUUUUCGUGACAAGGAGAAAUUCAUCCUCCUUGAUCCACAUCAAGCUUGACAAGACCAGUUUUUGGAUGGACUUAGUCUUUCUAAAGACUAUCAAGUCCAUACCUUUUUGUUUUAUUUUUGAUUUGAGAGUUUUCUUGUAUUGUAACUUGUUUUGAUUUUGAUUUCUCGCUUUAAUUUCAUUUUGGUUUGAUUUAACUUAGGUUUUUGAUGAUCAAUUUCAGGGGGGACUUCAAAGCAGUUGGACAUGUCCUUAAAGAUUCUUGGCAGAGGAAAAACCAUGAAGAAAAAAAUUCACCAAGGCAUUUCGCACACCCUUGCGAAAAUUUCGCAGGGUAUGCGAAACCCUUCUCAAAUAGUAAGUGUCACCCCGUGCCUUUAUUAUGGUGUCACCCUGUGCCUCUGUUCUGGUUCCACCCUCUGUUCACACGUCUCCUCUCACAUCUCAUUCCUCCGUUCUUUUCCCAUUCGACACCCCCCUUCGAGCACGGACCUGAGGGGCCCUUGUUGCCCCUUCGUAGAGUCGCACUCCGAGGCAGAGAGCCUCCUAUGCUCGGGUGUCUCGUGAUUUUCCACCUCAGGAGGCCACCACAGAGGCCCCGCAAAUUCCCCUUUCUGAAGGUGGAGCGCCUACUAGUCCAUUCUCUUUUGCUCCUCAACACAAGUAUGAGACUAGGAGACCAGCUACUACACAAGGGGCGACUGCUUCACACCCUCAGAGUUCAGUGCGGCGCCCUCCUGCCAAGAGGGCCAGGAUUUCAAGCCCAGGCGAGUCAUCCAGAGCUUCACAGCCUGAGUCUCCUGUUGCUACACAUGCUCGAGCUCCUGCAUAUUAUGAGUUUCCUUCCGACAUGUCACCGGGGUCUAAUAUUAGAUGCCCGAUGCUCACAGCACUGCCCAUUGAGGGCAACUUAGAUUGCAGAUCGAGGCCUUUCCACUUGGAGUCCUAUUUUGAUCAGGAGGUUUUCCGAUAGAAGCCUGAGCUCCGAGACUCUUAUGGCCUACUAUAGAGGUACUAUCUUGAGCAGCUUAUGACUCCUUGUUAGUUCUUUUAUCCAGAGUAGCAUUAGACUUUUACCAGUCCAUGACUACUCAUGGCGUCCCGAGUCCUACCUCGAUUCACUUCACCAUUGAUGGACGUCAUGGUAUCCUCGAGGCCAGAGAUAUUGCAGAGGCUCUACAGAUUCCUUUCAAGCUAGUUGAUCCAUCUGCUUUCCGCCAGUGGUCCCCAGUAUCUCAGAGAGACAUGGUACGCAUUUUAUCCAAGAGGACCUCUAUAGAUUUGAUUCUUAUUCAAAAGGAGAUUCCACCUAGGAUGCUCCUCGUAGAUGUGGUGCUACGCUCCAACCUCUUUCCCCUACAACAUUCGGUACAGAGGCGAGGAGCUAUCUUGGAUGUUUUGUUUCUCAUAUCAGAGGGCUUCUAUUUUGGCCCACACCACUUGAUCAUGGCCUUCCUCGUCCACUUUGAAGAGAAGGUCCAUAGGAAAAAGCUUUAGAGGGUGGACACCAUUCCAUUGCUAUUCCCGAGGUUGCUUUGCCAGAUCUUGGAGCAUAUGGGUUUUCCUACUGAGCCUUAGCACGAGCGCCGCUACAUUUGUCGAGAGUGAUUCACUAUUGAAAAAUGGAAUCAGUUGGUGGGCUAUUUUGCACCUCUAGGAGCCCAUCCCAUGGUAGCACCUCCAGAGCCCCCACAGACGGAGCAAACAUAGUCUACUUUAGUACCUAUAGAGCAGGGCGAGCUUCCAAUAGAGACUAUACCACUUGUCUCUGCAUCACCUACUUCAGCACCACCAGAGCCCAUGUCUGAGACUGUUUCUGUUGCUCCCCAUUUGACUCCUACUGUUCCAUCUGUUGCUCCUACUGCAUCCGAGCCUUCCAUCACCAUCUCUACUUCCAACACGACCUUGUAGUUACCUUGUAGACACUGUCCACCACACACGCCGCUCUCUUCCAACAGAUGGCUGAGAUGUGUUCCCAGCAGAACCAGUAGACUGCUAUACUUCACCAAAUCCAGCAGCACCUAGGUCUUCUGCCUCCACUUCAGCCUGACUUUCCUGCAUCAUCAGAGCCUUUAGCUCCAAUUGAGGAUACUAUUCCAGCUGAGGACACUACCACAAUAGAGGUCCAGAUCCUGCCACCUCAGGAGGCCAUCACAGAUGCCAUUGCUUCAAUUGAUCCUCAGGAUGAGCCUCAGACAGUUGACACAGUCACAACUACACCUGAGGAUGCAUCAUCUCCACAUGAGGUUCCCACUACUUGAUCAUAGGACAUCUCUUUAUCUUAUUGUAUUUACAUAUUAUAUUAGUGGAGAUUGUUCCUUGUUUUGAUGUUUUAUAUUCUGGGAUUGGAUGUAUUACCUGAUGAUAUCUCAUAUUGUACUUUUUCAGAUUAAUAUAUAGACAUCAUUUUUUAUUAUACUUGGCAUUUUUCUAUUUCCUCUACUCAUUACUUUUUUUUUUUUUUGACUCAUGUGGUUUCUCCUAUAUGACUCAGACUCCAUUUCACUCAGGAGGUACCAUGUCCUCCCUUUAUUUUCAAUUUCUCUUGACACAUUGAGGGUAAUGUUGAUCUUGGUUGGGGGGAGAGUUGAGGAAGGAAAUAUUGUUAAUAAUGCUAGGUUAAUUUGUUAAUUUAGUUACUCUAUGGUUAUUAAGGAAAAAUUCUUAAAAUGAAAUGAGAGAAAUUGAGUUCUUACAUUUUUACUUGAAUCUUAGAGUUUGUAUUAUGCUUAUUGAGGUUGAUGAAUUAUUGAAACUCCUAUUGAAUUCAACCUUAUUUCUUCCACUUUAAUCUUACCACACACUGUGCACAUUAGGUUCCAUUUAUAAGAUGAAAAACUAUCUCACCUCCUGAACUUAGGAAAAUUUCGACUUGGUAUCUUUGACCUCGUUUUAAUAGUGUUGGGACACCUUAUAAAAGGUCAAUGAGCCUUCAAAAAAAAAAAAAAAAAAAGAACAAAGUGUUUCACUUGCCUUGAAACCCGAGCAAGGUCUGAGGGGUAUAUGGCAAAAGUCUUUAAAACCCGGUGCCCUAAGCCUUUAUUGGUUAGGAGUCACUGAUCUCAAUGUUCGUUACAAGGGUGAAUAGGUGGAGUUUAACAUAUUGUAGGUGAUUGGGUAUUGAAUUUCAAUCUCAAAAAUCCGAGGUGAAAUUUGAGGAGUUAGUGGUCAAAAAAUUCUUAAAGCUUGAUGCCCUAAACCUUGAUUAGUUGGGAGUCAUCGAUGGAUCCCUGUUACAUGGACACUUUAGAAAACAAUACCUUUAGCAUUGCACUCCUACAAUGAAAAAAAAAUUGUGAAAUAAAAGAGGUGCGUUCUUAGCCUAUUGGAGGUUGGUCAGUUUGCUAAGGUUUGAGAAAGAACUAGGUUUGGGGGGAGGGGAGAAUAGUUCAACAUACUAUAAUCGGAAACUAAUAAGCUUAACACUUAGAUUUUUGUGGAAGAGUAAGGAUUGGAUCUUUGGGAGUGGAAAUUCUUUUGAUGCUUAAAUUUGCAUAAUGCAUACUCUUUAUAAAUUGUGAUUAAGUAAGGAUUGAUGACUCUUGUUGAAGGUUGGGUUUUGCCUCUUUGAUGUUCCAUGAGAAAGUAUGAUCCGCAUUAUGCCACUUGAAAUUUUUUUGGAGUGAUUAGCAUGAUUUUAUAAAUUAUUUUAUUAUCUAUUUUUCUUUAUCUCUCCUUCAUUGCUAAGGGACUAGCAAUGUGUCGUUGGGGGGAGUGAUUACUACUCAAAAAGUGCUAUUUUAUAGCUUGAAAUUAACUAUUUUAAACACUUUUGAGUAGUAGUUAAUACUUUUUAACUCAAUUGGCACAUUAAGGAACUUAGCAAGGGUUACUAAUUAGUUUUUGGCUAGUUUUGGUGUUUUUGGUAGCUUUUUUAUCAUUGAAACAAGCAAAGAAUGAGGGAGAAUUUUGUGCAAUCCAUGGCAAUGCAAGUUGAAGCUCAAAUACAUGAAGAAUCUGAGUUUUGGAGCACUUUAUAGCCCUUUGCCAAGCUAAUUAGAGAUGCAAAGAAGAAAACUAGAGGAAGAAAUCCAACAUGUAACAAUUUCGCAUGUCUAUGCAAAAAUUUCGUAUAGCAUGCGAAAUCAAGAGGAGGAGCAACUGCUAGACUGAGUGAAGGACAAUUUCGCACACCCUGCGAAACCAUAAGAUGCAACAAAAAUGAAUUCCGCACACCAUGUGAAAUUUCGCAUGGUCUACGAAAUCUUCCUGUGCACCGACUCCGUUAGAUUUUUAUCUCUAGAUUUUUUGUAUAAAUUACUAUUUUCUCCUUGUAAUCAACCAAUGAUAGGAUUUCUUAGUUAGGAACUAUAAAGGGGGGUUGGAAAGACCUCUCUAUAUAUAAUAUAUUUUUGUAUAAUCUUUUGAAUGAUAGAUGACACUUGUAAUUCCUGUAGGAAGAAAUAUACAGAGCCUUUGCUCUGCCUUUCCUUCUCAUUUUGUUUUCAUUUUUCUUUCUAGCCAAACAACCUCUGAGGAUGAUUUCUCAGGGGAUGAGUGGCUAAGUUUUACAUUUCUUGGAGUGAUGGAAACUAGGUGAAGGACCCAGAUGCAAAGAUGAGAGUUUUCCUUGCUUUAAAUAAAGGUAGUUGUUAACCAUUAAUGGUUUUUAUUUCAAGGUUUAGCUUUAAAUCCCUUAGAAUCACCUUGAAUGGCCAAUACUUGGUAAGCUUUCCGGAUUCUAUGGAUGCUUAUUGCUAGAUCCAUGGAUGUCCAUUAGUUAUCAAGUACGAGCCAUUGGAAGGUGGUUCAAGGUGAGAAUCACCUUGAACGGCCAAUACUUGGUAAGCUUUCUGGAUUCUAUGGAUGCUUAUUGCUAGAUCCAUGGAUGUUCAUUAUUUAUCAAGUACGAGCCAUUGGAAGGUGGUUCAAGGUGAGGGUCUUUAGUGUUUGAAGCCAUUAAUGGGAAGCAACUACCAUUUUUCAUGAACCCUUUGGAUCAAAUCUUAAUUGCUAAAUACAAAACCGGUUCAAGAGAUAACCAUCCUUUAUGUUAUUGUCCCCAAUGCGAGGAGAAGAUCCGGAAUCUCCCCCUUUGCCUAAGGAACCCGAUCCUAGUGACCUAAAGCUCCAAGAAACAUUCUUUUUAUAGUUAACUUCAAUUGCUAUUUUUGCUUAACUUAAAAUCAAUUUUUUCAACCACAAUUCUAUUUUCUUUAAAAGCUAAUUUUCAUAAGGAAAAACACCAUUUGAUUACCUUUACUAAAGUCGCUUGUACGAAGAAAACCCAUCCAUGUGGACGAUCCUAGAGUCACUAUACUAUAGUAGCCAUGCUACCCUAGUGUAAGGUGAUUUAGGUUUUAUAAAUUUUGUUGAUAACACCCGUCUGGCACAAGAAUCAAAUGGCACCGUUACUAGGGAGGAAUCAAUGUGCCAUCAAAUUACCCUACGUACUUGACCCAGUUACAAAUUAAAAUAGGGUUUGAAUUUAGCUAUAUCUUAUAUUCUGCAGUUCUUCUCUAUAGUCAACCUUUAAUAUAUGCAAGUUUUUUACAUAGCCACUUUGCACAUAUGGUGGCAUCACAGGUUCAGAUUCUCAUCUACUGGGUGGUAGCCAAGAAAACCUUUAUCAAGAGAUCAUCUUAGGUUUUUAUUGCUCAGAAAACAAGAAAUUAUUUGAAAAUUUUCUCCAACAGACUCAUUAGCUUGAACAUAGUUUAAACAAAAGUAAGGGUAUUUGUGCAACCAACUUCAUUGGAAAUUCAAUUCCAAGAAACAUUAUGGCAAGUCUACUAUUUUCUUUUUUAAUGAGGCAAUGAGUUUGUUUAAAUGUUUCUACCAACGUGGACAUGUAUAAGAAUUGUGCCAUUUUUCUCCAAAACUAAAAGGUGUUUUGUGAUGUGCAGUCUAGUCUUGAAAAGCUCACAUCAGGGAUGUUUUGCAUUUCAAACCUAUUUAUUUCUUUUUUUUUCACCCAUAUCAACACAUCUACUGCCAUCAUUAACUUGAGGUAUACCUAGAUAUGUUUGUGGUUGCAUGAGUUUGUGUUUGUAUCAAUUUUUUUUUUUUUAAAAAGGUGUUUGUGUUUGUAUCAAUGAAUACUAGACAUAGGUAGCGAGCUGGUGUUGCAUGUAUAGAAGUAAUGAGGAAUAUAGAAAGAAAGGAAAUGGAUGCAAGGGGUGUAGAAAACUCAAGGUUGGUCCUUAUUGAUUCCAAGUCUUUUGAGCUUAGAGUUGGACGGGUCAAGGGGUGGAGAGAUGUGUAGAUAGUGGAAAAAAGGCAAAGGUUAUCAGAGAUGGAUCAAAGUGAGUAGAUGAGUGUUGGAUUGGAUUUUGAAGUCCUUGGAUUCAUGCCAUAACUGGAGAAGGGAAAAACUCUUCAAGAGUGAGAUGAUCACAUAACCAACCUCAAAUAUUUUUGACAUAAGCUAUUAAGCUUUUAAUUCACAGUGACAACUAAUUAAGACAACUCCUAACAAUACUACCUUUAAGAAAAACCAAAUAUAUCUCAUUCUAACUGCAUGCUUAACCUUUUCUCUAUACCCAAAAUUUAUUUUUACGUAUUCAUAUCUAUGUUUGUUUUCUGAGAAAAGAUACAGGAACAAGAAAAUAGUUUGAAUAUUUAAAUUUUCAUGACUGGUAAACAUGUUUUCUAUGAGAAGUUUGCUAAACAUGUAAUUUGUUAUAAAAUAAACAACAUUUAUACACAAACUAGUUAAAAACCUAGCCUUACAUAAAACAUUAUGGGGUGAACAAUUGAUAUUCAUCUCAUCACAAACACGUAAAGGACCUUCAUCAAACAACAAAAAAACCACAUUAACAAGUACUUAUGCAAAUACUAUUUACAAUUCCAAAUCAAUUAAAUUGUCAAAAGAGAGUAGGUUUUACAUAUUAUUACUUCACAUACUUCAGUUGAUAACCCGACUCAUGGUAGCUUAGCUUUAAAGGCGUAUUAACAAAUUUAUACCUUAAAUACUAUUACUAAAGUAGCCAAGCUACUAUAGCAUAGUGGUUCUAGGAUCGUUCACUAGGAAGGGUUUUCGCAAACACAAGUGAUAUUCAAAUUAGGAAAAUAGGUGAUUUUCUUAUGGAUGUUAGCUUUAAAAAAAGAUGUAAAUGUUUUAGAAAGAUUUAAACUAAUCUAAGCUAACAUUAAAGACUAAAAUGAAAGGGUGUAAAAACAAGUUUCUCAAAGAUAGGAUAGCCAUGCUCUGGCUCUUAUGCAAAUUGGAAAUCUCAGGAUAGGCUCCUCGCGUUGGGUUUGCAACUAUGGUGAUGCUUGCUUCCCGAACCGGUAUGGAUUUAGCAAAUCAAGUUUUAAUCCUUGAAAAUGGCAAAACAGAUGGUAGUGAAUUUCAUCAAUGGUUAUUCACCUUAGACUUCCUUUGAAUGGCUCGUAAGAGAUAACUAAUGGUCUAAAGCCAAAAGCUUACCAAAUAUUGGCAACUCAAAGUCAUUCCAAGUGAUAAACUCACCUUUCAAUGGCCAUUGAAAUUGGUUCUAAUGGAUUAAUGCAAAACUUGGAAUUGAAAACCUCACCUUCCAAUAGCUCGUAGGAGAUAACUAAUGGAUAGAAAUCCAAAAGCUUAUCAAGUAUUGGCCGUUGGAAGUUGUCCAAAGGAAAUAAAAACCAAACUUUGCAUUAAUGAACCGUUAAUGAAAAACGACUACCUUACCUUCCAGGUGCGAGAAAUUUCCAUGGGAUUGCAUCCAAGCCAUCACAUAACAUCCAUACUUUGAGAAACUAAAAGUUUUAGCCAAUCAUCCUCUGAGGAAAAGCCCUCAGAGGUUGUUUGGCUACUAAGAAAAUAGAAAUGGGGCAGAACAGGAGAAGAGAGAAAAAUAGAGCUUUAUAUAUUCCUAAGUUAAUGUACAGAGGAUCGAUCCCCCAAUCAUCCCAUAUGUUUUGGAGGUGUUGUGCACCUCUAUAUAUAGCAAAAUUACAAGAUAAAGCCUUAUGUCGGCUGAAUGCAAGGUUACAAAAGGAAUUUACAUGAGAAAAUAACAAGCUACAAAUAUCUGGGAAGUCGGUGGUGCGUGCGUGGAGAAACAGAGGAAAUUUGGCAAGGUAAAAGGCACCUUGCGAAAUUUUCGCAAGGUGAAUUACUCAUGAUGCGAAGUGCCAUAUUUUCGCAUCAUGAGUUAAUUCACCUUGCGAAAUUUCGCAAGGUGGGUCUUCAUGGUGCGAAAUGGCCAAAUUUCGCACCAUGAAGAAAAUCUCCUUGCAAAAUUUUCGCAAGGUGAAAUUCACCUUGCGAAAUGGUGUUCCCAUGGCUUGAUGCAGUUGUUUUUCGAAGGUCAUAUCUUCCUCAUUUCAGCUCCAAAUCAUACACGGUUUGAAGCGUUGGAUUCUUGACUUCCUGAUCUUUGAAAUGGUAUAUAGAAUGUAGAAAAUGGACUUCGGGAAGUGCUCCAAAAGUGCGAAGGAAGACUGCAGCUGCUGUCCUCAGUUUUCUUCACUUUGCUUGUUUUUCCUCUUUGCUUCUCUCCUUUACUUGGCUUGUCUUAAUGAUCCAAAAAGCUGUCAAAACACUAAAACUAGCCACAAAUAUGAUUAUAAGUCAUUGCUAGGUCCUUAACAUGUCAAUUGGAAUAAAGAUUGAGAACUACUACACAAAAGUGCUUAAAACAUAAUGAAUUAAAGGUGUAAAAUAGCACUUUUUGGGUAGUAAUCAGCAGUACAAUUCCAAAUAUCAUAUUAGGUGGCUAGUAAUUGAAAAAUAGUUUGUAGCUAAAUGCAUAGUAUAUCUAGUUCCAAGACACAAACAUCUUUACCUUAAACUUUGUCCCAACACUUUGCUUCUACGAAUCAAAUGCACCUAAGGAUAAAUGACUAGCUUGCUUUUGGGAGUGGUCGAGCAAAUUAGAGGCAAACAAUUGAGGAAGAUUGCAACUACAUGAUGAGAGAAGUUGUAUUGAAUUAGAGUGAAGAGGAUCUCUGUUCUUUUCCAAGAAGCCACUUGUAUAAUAAAGAACCUAGCAAACCUCCAAAUGUUAGUAAAUGCGUACACAACAAUAAAUCCUGAUUUUUGAAGGGUUUUCAUGAAUGAAUCAAGCCAACUCAGACAAGCACAGGGUAAUAUUUUAUAAGCAUCAAGCUAGUCAGUAAUUGUCGCUAUGCUAAUUUGAUCAAGAUAAGCAAACUCUACAAAACAUGUAACCAUUAAACCUCUUUAACAAGUGAUCAACAUCAAGUUAACUAGUCUAUGUUUGAAUUAACCUAAAUGUUUUCCCACAUCAUCAAAUAAAUUACAAUUUUUGUACACAAAGCCAAUUUCAAGAUGAGAAUUAAUUUAGAAAUUACAAUCAUGCAAUCAUAGAAGCUACUUUCCAAGUAACAACUUGUUUAGUAUUAAAAGACUCCUAAUCAAAACUCUUACUCGUUUCCCUAAACAAAUGGUAGACACUUCGUAAGAUAAACCUUAUUCUCUAAAGAAUUGUCUUCUUCUAGAUAAAAAAAAAAAGUAUAUGAAAUAAAUUGAGAAGAUAGUAAUGGUAACUUUUAAUCAAAGUUGGUCUCUAUCCUUAGAUAAAUAUUGUCUUUUUUAAGAAGUUAAUUUUUAAUGAUCCUUUCUUCUACUAAAUCCCUAAUUAACAUCAAUCUAAAAGAAACAUCUAAAGGUAAGCCUAAGUAUAUAAAUGUGAGACGUCCUACCCUUUAACCAACAAUUGAAACUAGUAAUUCCAUGUUCUCACAUUCUAUUUCGGAAAUAAAAUUUUCUAUUCAUUCAAAGAACCACCACAAAGAAAAGAAGGUUUACCCCACAACUAACAAUUAAUCAUUACCAUUUCCUAUCAAAUGAAAGAAUAGAACCCUUAGUAAAGAAUAAAUGAAAAAUUUAUAACCCUUCAACAUUAUUUCGUUGGUCAUAAAGCCUUGAAGGAAACCAUUAUUGAUGGCUCUUUGAACCAUAUAACUUGAGGCUUGUAUGACUACAUAAAAAAAUAUGAGGAAAAUGGAUUGCCUUGUCUCAAAACUAGUAAGAUUGGUGAAAAACCAAAAGGAGAUUUUGUUUUUUUUCAAUAUAGAGAAUUUGAUUGUAGUAUUGAUAAACUUAAUCCACCUAUUUUCACCCAUCAUGCCUAUGCCACUUACUUGCAUUUAAAAUGUCAAAGCCAAAAUAGUUUUCUCUCGAUGAGAUAAAAAAUUAAAAAUUAAAAAUUAAAAAUUUCAAAGAGUUCAAACUUUGCCACUCAUCCACAACUCCCUUGGUUUAAAUCCUUUGCAGUAUGUAACAUCCAUGAGCUAAUGAUAAAUAGAUUACAGGUUACCCCCACCCAUGUCUAGUAAGAACAAUAAAGUCCUACAACAAGCUAUUUUUGCAUCAAACAACACAGUUGCAUUGUUAAUUGUAUAUGGUUCUUGAAAGUACAUAACCUAGAAACAUCUUUUUCACUAUUUCAACAUAGUCUCCUUCCUCUAUUACAAACAAGCUAUUAAGCUAAGGCUCCCAUUCACAUUCUGAAAAAUAUUUUCCCUUUCCAAAACUAAAAAAGAACAUAAAACAAAUUAAUGAUGUGUGUGGUUCUCAAAAUUUUUUUCCUCAACAAUUCCCCACAAACAGUCAUCCCUGUAAACAUAAAAAUUUAAGAUAUAACAAAAAAAAAAAAAAAAAAGCAUUUUUCCCAAAUAUUCUAAAUCACAGAGUCAUGAACAACGGAAAACAACCAUUCUCGUUUCCUAAAUUCACUCAGUUUGAAAAUUUCUUUAACCAAAACAAAUUUUCCCUCUAUUUCAUUCAUGCCAAAAUGAAUCAAAAUACAACAUACCACAAAAUAUAAGACCUUCGGCCCCUAUGUUUUCUCAACAACCAAACGAAUCCUUAAAUGGAAAACUCACAUGUGAUUGAUUAAUCCAAAGCAAGAGAAAACUCCACUUUGGUUUUCAGAAACCUUAAAAAAAUUCCACCUUUGAUGAAGAAAUAUGAAGAUAUGGCUCCACUUUGGCUUCAUUGAAGGUUUUCAGAAGAUGGUUAUCGGGUUUGGGUGGUUAGCUCAUGAAGAGAGACACACUAGGGUUAGGCCAAAAUGCGACGUAGAAGGCUUUGGGAAAAUGGGUAUCCAUUGCCUGGUCAGGACGUCAAUAAACAAAUCGGCUACCUGUCUUUGUGUAUCAAACGAGCUAUGAAAAUGCGAAUUUCCUAAGAUGGGGUUAGGGUAAAAUGAGAGGAAGUGACAAAGAGAGUUUCCCUAAAUUUCCAAUGUUUCUUGGGUCGAGUGUUCUAUGGGUUUCAAAUUUGAGAACUUCAAGUUUCAGAUUUUUGUGCUUAUUAAAUUGCACACCUUCAUGUUGACAUGGACACCGGUGGCUGUUUUGACAGGGAGACAUUAAAGGGCAAUUUUGGAAAUGAAUAUGUAAACAUUAUAUAGUGCACGAGAAAGAUAAUAUUUUCCCCAUUAAUAGGGAAAUCUUAUAUUUCAUUUACGUAGGACUUCAAAACCAUAUAUUUUCCUAAUCAUAGGCUGGCUGAAAUUUAUUGCAUUUUUUGCGAAUAGGACAAAAAAUAAGGACAAUGGUUUGGUGUCCAUUCAGUCGUGCAUUCACUCCUGUGUCUUGAGUAAUAAGCCCUUCCUCAGCUGCAACCCAAUGUCCAAUAUUAGUUAUAACUCAAUGCUACUUCACUGCUCAUUGUUUGGCCAUAUUUUGAGGCCAUCCCGUACAAGUACAAACAUUUUUUUUUUGAAAUUUAAUUUUUAAAAUUAUCAUAACUUAUAUCAAAUUGGAUUCCACUUGAAGUAUUAAAAUACCACAUAUUGAUAUUUAUUUUCCAAACAAUCUUAUUUUAAUAAUAUUUUUUAAAAAAGAAAAAAAUCUCUAAUUUUGGCAACUACUUGACAUAAUCUCAACAAUUCAGUAGUUGAUGCGGAGUGAUAUGAGAUCAUUUUGAUGGGAUAAAAUUCAACAAAAAUUCAAUUCCGCUAAUAAAAUAAAAUUUAUGAUGUUUAACAAUAAUAUAAUAUACAAUGACAAGAAAUAUAAAAUGUACUCAUUUAUUAAUAAAAAAUACUAAAAUUAUAUUUUUGAAAGAAGUCAAUGUAAAAACAUUGAGAGAAUAUAUUUUAAUUUUUUUUAACCAUUGUACUUAUAAAAAACAAAAACCAUGAAUUUUAACCAUGGUCACUAUCCAUGCAUGGGAGGGUAUAUCUGGUGUCCAUUCAAUCCAUGUCUUUAAAAGUUAGUAGAAAGGAACCAAAAGUCAAGCUUGAGAUGCAUAAGUACUUGAGUUGAUGUAGUUGCAAAAGAAAUGAUGAGGUAAAGAGCUAACCAAAAGCCAAGUUAAAAGGUGUUUUUGGGUCAUAAAGGAGUAAAGGUAUGGACCCCAAAAUCAGACCAGUCAUGCGUACAUGAGCAGGACCCAUAAUUUCAACACACUUCUUCGAACUGGGCUUUCUACGGAAUUUUGUUUAUUUUGACAUAAAUACCCCCAAUCGUGGAAACCCAUGUUAUUGCUUUCAUGCUGAUUAGUCAAUACACUAAUCUCAUAUGGGGGGCUGAACCUUAUUCCAUUAGAGACAAAGGAACCUGCAAUAACAUUCUGGCUAUGACACAGGUGACAGGGAGUUCGAUUUUUGUUACUUGUAAAUAUAUGUUUAUCAGUGUAUGUUUUAUAUAUGAAUAGGUAUGCGCAUGCAGACUGACUUGAUUUUGCCCAUGAUGCUUCACAACUUAGCCAUUGCAUUCAAAAUCACCUUCAUUUAUUGGGGAUAAGAGGAUCAACCUUUCUUGCAAGGAAGCAACAAAACCUUCUGUGCCUUCAUCAAAAUCUUAGUCUGUUCCUUUAAUUUCAUCUUUUCGUUCUUCUUUGUAUUUUUCUUAUUUUCUUUGGUUACUUUAAUAAGAUUUGCUCUUUGGUUAAGUUUCACAAGGUUUGUCGCUUGAUUGCAUGGCCUUAUUUAGAGUAGUUUCUUGAGAGAGGAUAGUUUUGAAUUCUGUGAUAAGGACCUUCCUUUAUGUUACUUAUGGAGUUUUCACAAACUGCUGUCCAAGUGAGCAGCUUAGAUAUGCAGUGGAAGAAACCACAGCUAUGAUAUGCAGUCACUUUGUCCUUUAACAACCUGCUUGUUUUUGCCAAUGUUAACCUUCAAAAGGGGAAUAUUUUACCUCUUGACCUUUCCUGCAAAGACUUUUCUUGCUCACUUUAUUCUGCAUGAACCUUUUGGUGCAGAGGAAAACGGUCUGCAAGGACUACUAAUGGUGCCAGCAAUGCUGCAGCAAAGAAGGGCGGUGGAGCUGGUGGUAUGCAAAGCCAGCUUGUUAACAGGGCAUUGGAAGGCAUAUCUCGCGGUGGAAGAAGUGGUAUGAGGGGCAGAGGCAAAGGGUGAGGAGGACGUGGACGAGGAAGGAGCUACUCGUAGCUUCGAUUCCCACCCAUAUUGUGUAACAGAACCAUCAGAACGACGGAGUUAGUAUGAAUCAGAAGAAUACAAACAAGAGUCAUUGAUGUAUUAAAACUCUCUUCUAUUGGAACGAUUUUUUUAUUUAUAUAGGGGCUGCUAAUGAGUUGUUUUCAGUUGUUUUCGUCUAAACCAACAAGAAGUUGGUCAGUAAGCCAGGCAACUGAUGCUUUAUGCGUCGUUAGAAAAGGAAAAGGUUUAAUGAUGAAACGACAGCACAAAAGCCAGCUGAAGGUACAAAUAAAUUAAUCAUGGACAUUACAGUGAAGUUGAGAUUUACUUCUAGUGUGGGGAAUCUCAUGAUUAUUGAGAAAGAUUUAAAGAUCAAAAUCUAGAGAUAGGAGUAAUUACCUUGUUAUAAACACAGUCAACCAGCUCUUCGUAUGUGCCAACAACUGGAUGGAACUCGUAGGGUAGAGAGUAAUUUUGCUCCCUCAGGGACACGUUUUAGGUGAUGUUAAAAAUUGGAUACAAUGGAGAAAAGAAACACUCUCAAAUACUCUCUUGAUACAAUAAAACUCUCAAAGUUACAAAAUAAGAACAAGAAAAAGAAGAAUACAAGAAAGACUCAAACAAGUUCUUGGAACUUUGUCCAAAAACUCUAUUUCCUCCCACCACUAGAAAUCUUUUGGGAACUAAUGGAAAUAGUCUUGGGAUUGAUCAAGCCUUUUCACUUUUCUGCAUAAGAUUUCAAAAAGAAGAAAAGUCAUAUAUAACACUCUUAGGGUUGAAAAAUGGUUACAAGGAUGAGAAAAAACUCAUUGUCUUCCUCAAUCUCUUUAUCUUUGUAACAUUUAAAAAUUAAAUCAUAUAUUUAAUUCACACAUUAAACAUGAUUUAAUCUCAAAUGUGUAACUCUCUUACACUUAACCUCUUAAGUUUUAUAAAGUUACAAAGAUGAGAAGACACAUUGUCUUCCUUAACCUUUCAAGUUUUAUAACAUUUCAAAACUUAAUCAUGUGUUUAAUUCACAUAUUAAAAAUGUAACCCUUCUUACACUUUAUUUUCAAAAGUUAUUUUUCAAAAGUGUAACUCUUCUUACACUUUAUUUUUAACCAACAAUAUAUAUAUAUUUAUAUAAAUAUAACAUUAGGUACCCUGGCCAAAUCACUGGAUCAUCCAAAACCUUCGUGGUGUUUCUACCGCAAUUUUUGUCUCCACCUUCUCUGCUGAGAGGGUUGUCCAAGUCCUGCGUCCAACAGUCAAGCUCCUUGUAGUCCGUUCUAACAACGUUUAUAAUCCUGAACGGCAACGAAUUUGAAUUUGAUAGAUCACCCCCUUCAAAAAUAAUGUUGCCACUUAAACCACUGAAGUUGCUUGAUAAUAUAUUUUUUAACAACAUAUUUGGAGUAUUAGUAUCAUCACUAGCUAAUCUCUCCAGGGCCCGUGUGAUGACAGCAAUGCUAUCAUAUGCUCAUAGUGCAUGAAUUCCAGGCUGGGCGUUGUCUUCCUCUGGGUUUUCGGAUUUAAAUUUUUUCUGAAACUGGGCAGAGAAUUCUAGGAAGGGUCUAUUGGAUUUGGAAUAGUAGGACUUGAUUCCUAGAGCCCCUUCCAUAUAGGGGAUAAAGGAAGUGUCCAUGGAAUCCAGGAAGCUUGAAAUGCUAUCUGUAAUUAUCCAGGCUGAGUCUUUCCCCACAAAAUCCAUCCGCCCUGCUUCUUGGAACAAAUGGGUAGCCAUCGGUAAUGAUGAUUGAAGAACAAUGAAAACCCUGGAUUGUGUGCUCAGAAGCUUCAAGAGCUCUUGAUGGACAUCUCCUCUUGGAUCAGAUAGAGAUGAUAUGGGAGGAAGAGACAAAUGGUACUCGAUCUCCGAUCCAACUCUUUGAAGAGCUUCAGAUAAAAGAGUUAACAUCUCAACGUUGCCACCGUACGCAUCAUCUUCAUAGAUUGCAAUGACCCUUCGCCAGUGAUAGGAGUGAACGAUCGCUGAAAUGCACCUUAUUUGUUCAGAAACAUUGCUUCCCAUUUGUAUCAGGGUGGGCCUUCCAAGCUGCCUUGACGGCCGGACACUGGCUGAUGCCGCCAAUGAAAGAACUGGUACUUGAGCUUGGUCUUCUAUUUCAUCAGCUAAAGCCGAUUGCUGCCACGUAUCCAUGCCCACAAUCACUUGCACUUUGUUCUCUUUAAUCAGUUCUUCAGCUGCAAUUAAUUAAAUGUUAUGAACUCCAUCAAUUGUAUUCCAUUUUUGUUCUGCCGAUUUCAUUCAUGACAUAAUGUAACAAUAAAUGAUUUUUUUUAUUAUUGUUUAUAAUACAAUUCCAAUUUCUAAUUUAUAUAUCAUCCUUUUCAUGCUUUAUAUUUUCUGAGUAUUGAGGCCUAGGAUCACUUACAUAGUAAAUAAUUUACAUGUAUUAUGAGUUGUAUAGAAAACCAAGUCAUAGGUUUCUUGCAAGUUAAUUACUCAUUUAGUGUUGAUCAAGUCAUUUAUUUAAGAUUAUAGUGCACUACCUUCUAAUUGUAGGGAUGACUUAUCUUGAUCUUAAGGAUAAGGUUUCCAUGGUGAAUGCAUUACUAUGAAUAAUUAUACAAUAGACAAAAUCUAUAAUAAUUCAUGAUAUUGAUUAUUAAGUAGUCAUGACUUUACUAAAUUAUUAUACUAUAUAUGCUCUUGAUCUUAAGAAUAUAUUGAGUUAGUAUUGAGAUUUUUAAUAACUUUGACCUAUUUGUAAAAACUUAAAAUGAUCAUAUAUCCCACUUAUGAAGGAUGUUAUAACAUUUACUUUUUUAUAAUAAAAAAAAAACUAAUUAUGUAUUCUAAGUAAACUAGUAGUAGAUAAAUUCAACAGCUAGUUUCUAUCAAGUGUGUAUGGAUACAGUAGGGGGACAGGUCUCAGGAGGCUCCAGCACAUCAGAAGAGGUCACCUUGAGUUCAUAGUCACUGUAGCUGGAAAGACGUCCGGAGGCUCCGUGGGUAUCAAAACGGCUCACUGUUGGCCACCUUGUAGAGAUCCAUUCAUCUCCAGUGGGAUGGGGAGACAAAUUUGACAGUCUUUCAUUAGGAAACUCAGUUUGUCCAUUAUGAAAGAAAUGCACUAAUUGAACAGUCUUCAUCCAGACACUUUCAUCACUUGGGUUUGCAUCACUUCUGGAUGCCUGGUGACGUUUGAAAUCGAUGAGCAGGCGAAGGAAGAACAGUAGAAAGCAGAGAGUGGAAGUGGCGCCGCAUAAAAGGUAGAGAGCCCAGAAGUUCCCGAGGCUCAGUUCAUCAUUUGUGGUGGCUGAACACUCGGCAGAACGAGGAAACCAUUUAUCUUCUAAUUCUUUUAGAAUCCUCUUCUCAGAUAUGGUUAGGAUGGCUUCAGAGACGUCAGUAGCUAGUGGAGAGCCUUUCUGAAAGGCCUGCAUGGAGAUUAACAAGGAUGACAUGACCAAAGCUAAUUUCAUUGUGAGAAUGCUAAACAAAUUCCAUAUGCUAUCCUAUUCCACUGAGCAAUGGUUCAACUAAUUCCUACCCCCAGACAAGGGAUGGGCCAAUUUUCUUUGGGGGAAAAGGGCAUCGACGAAUCAGUUUUGGCCACUUCACACAUUUGAUAAGAAAAGUUAUAGAAAAUUUUAGAGAGUGCAAAUGGGGAAGAGUUCCAGCUACUACUCACAAAGCCUAAUCCUCCGAAUCUGUUGAGGGGUUGACCGGCAGUGUAAUUCUUGCAGAACUGACUAGUGAGAAUUUUUGCAUGAGGAAGGCCAAGAACGGCAGCUGAGAUGUUCCCACUCUGGAAUUCGCCAUGAUAUUGGUUUUGGUUGCAAAUAUUCUUGAUAUGAGCUCCUUCGAAAUUAAACACGUUCUCUAAGUAUUGCCUCACAAAUGAAGCACCAUUACAACCAACCACAGACCUAGUAGCUUUUAGCCAUUCGAUAUCCAUCACAUUGGAAUCAAGUCGUUGGACAGUGAGCAUGGAAGAGAGACUAGCAGUGUAGCUCGAGGUUAAAACGAAGACUACAAACAGCCACACCACUAUCACUACUCGAGUAAUAUUGCUACGAAUUGUCUCCCCUGGGAAAUGAAACAACAGCUAGCUUUCUGAGUAAUUUAAUUAUUGAGCAAACCAAAAUCUCUUCCAUUUUUAAUACUAAUACUAAUACUUACUAUGAGCAAAGAAAAGAGAAGAGAAGGUGAACCAAAGAGCAGUCCCAAGCUGACUCCUCCAUGGGCCUCUGAAUGCCGGAUUAUUGGAUUGGUACUCCAGUACCCAAACUAUGAACAUGGUGUAGAUCAAGAGGGCACCUGUGACUACCCACGUUUCCCAGGUGAAAGUCUUCAGGAACAUCCAUGCCUUGUGAGGUUCUUCAGACGUUACUUGUACUAUCACCAAUCCCGACUCAGCAUAUGGCACUGUGAAUUCCACUUUUUUUGAACGGGUGGCAAGUAUUGUCACAUCCCCAACCACAGCAUCAUAGGUCUUCCAUGUAUUUGAUUCACAAGAGAUAUGCACAAAAUUUCUAUCAGAAACAAAUGAUUGAAACAAAUACAAAGUAUGAUUCAUGAAUUCUGAGAGUUAAUCUUCAGUACUAUGUUCACUGCUCUUUCAUGGGGAUGAAGUCAAAACCUAAUAUACCAGAAAAGUCUACUGAACAGUCCUCUUCAAAACCUAAUAUACCAGAAAAGUCUACUGAGCAGUUCUUUGGAAGGCAUAAAAAUUGAGAAGUUUCAAGGGUUUGAAAAACCUAAUUAGGGAAAUAUAUAUUUCCACAUAAAACUUCCUUAAAUUCUUGCGCUCUUGCUGUAGUAAAGCAGGCAAAUAUUAACUAGGAGAGAAAUGAGGUUCAGUCUGACUUUGAUUUUCAUUUAAACCAACCACAUGUUAAUUGGGUCAGUAAGCUAGACAAGCUUUUUUUGAGUCAUUAGAAAAGGAAGAAGGUUUACUGAUGAAAUCACAACAUAAAUCAUGGACGCAAAUGUGAAGUUGAGAUUUAAUUCCAGUGUGGGGAAUAUCAGGAUUAUUGAGAACGAUUUAAAGAGCAAAAGCUAGGGAUGGGAGUAAUUACCUUGUUGUAAACACAAUCAACCAGCUCAUCGUAUGUGCCAACAACUGGAUGGAACUCGUAGGGUAGAGAGUAAUUUUGCUCCAAAAUUUUUAACACCUCGUGGAAAAUAUCAAUACAGAAACCAGUAUAUUUUUUUUCAGGCUCGAUUUGAUCUACGUCCACCUUCACAUAAUUUUUAAAAGUGGUGUUAGCUGGAAUUCCAAUCUUCAAUGGUUUUGCAACAGUGGGCAUUUCCCAUCCCUUGGGGACACGUUUUAGGUACCCUGGCCAAAUCACUGGACCAUCCAAAACCUUCGUGGUGUUUCUACCGCAAUUUUUGUCUCCACCUUCUCUGUUGAGAGGGUUGUCCAAGUCCUGCGUCCAACAGUCAAGCUCCUUGUAGUUCGUUCUAACAACGUUUAUAAUCCUGAACGGCAACGAAUUUGAAUUUGAUAGAUCACCCCCUUCAAAAAUAAUAUUGCCACUUAAACCACUGAAGUUGCUUGAUAAUAUAUUUUUUAACAACAUUUUUGGAGUAUUAGUAUCAUCACUAGCUAAUCUCUCUAGGGCCCGUGUGAUGACAGCAAUGCUAUCAUAUGCUCGUAGUGCAUGAAUUCCUGGCUGGGCGUUGUCUUCCUCUGGGUAUUCAGAUUUAAAAUUUUUCUGAAACUGGGCAGAGAAUUCUUGGAAGGGCCUAUUGGAUUUGGAUUGGGAAUAGUAGGACUUGAUUCCUAGAGCCCCUUCCAUAUAGGAGAUAACGGAGGUGUCCAUGGAAUCCAGGAAGCUUGAAAUGCUAUCUGUAAUUAUCCAGGCUGAGUCUUUCCCCAUAAAAUCCAUCCGCCUUGCUUCUUGGAACAAUUGGGUAGCCAUUGGUAAAGACGAUUGAAGAACAAUGAAAACCCUGGAUUGUGUGCUCAGAAGCUUCAAGAGCUCUUGAUGGACAGCUCCUCUUGGAUCAGAUAGAGAUGAUAUGGGAGGAAGAGGCAAAUGGUACUCAAUCUCCGAGCCAACUCUUUGAAGAGCUUCAGAUAAAAUAGUUAACAUCUCAGCGUUCCCACCGUACGCAUCAUCUUCAUAGAUUGCGAUGACUCUUCGCCAGUGAUAGGAGUGAACGAUAGCUGCAAUGCACCUUAUUUGUUCAGAAACAUUGGUGCCCAUUUGUAUCAGGGUGGACCUUCCAAGCUGCCUCGAUGGCCGGACACUCGCGGCUGCCGCCAAUGAAAGAACUGGUACUUGAGCUUGGUUUCCGAUUUCAGCAGCUAAAGCUGCUUGCUGCCAUGUAUCCAUGCCCACAAUCACUUGCACUUUCUUCUCUUUAAUCAGUUCUUCAGCUGUAAUUAAAUGUUAUGAGCCCCAUCAAUUGUAUUCCAUUUUUGUUCUGCCUAUUUCAUUCAUAUUCAGUACAUAACAGUGUUUUUCAAUACAUGGAAGCAAUAAAAAUCCAUUUCCACCUAUUUCAAUUUCUUUUCUUUUUCUAAAUGAUGAGUGAUGCUUAAAACAAGUUUUUCAAGUUAUCCUAAAUUUAUUUUUUAGAGGAAAACUUAAGAAUGAAAAAAAAAAAGGAAAAGAAAAAGGAAAAACAUUAGAAUUUAAUAUUUUUUUAUUUUACUAUGAUUGCGAAAUGACCAAUAUAAAGACAUCCAUCUCUCUAUAUCUUCCUACUUUUAUUUUUUAAAAUUUAAAAAAAAAUUAAUAUAAAAAAUAAAAAUAAUUAUUUUUACUUCUCUAUAUCCAUUCAAAGUUUAACCCUAAUUCUUCCUUUGUCCUUUCCUCUGCCUCGUCCCUUCUUUUCCUUCCUAAUGGGUCAUGAAUGAUACAAAGGAAGAGAAUAAAAGGGAAACAAAAUUGAGGUGGGUGUUAAAGAAGAUGAGGAUAAUUUUAUCCUUUCAUAUUUAAUUUUUAAUUUAAAAUAAAUAAAUAAAAUAAAAAAUAGAAGAUAUAUAAGUGACGUAGAGAUAGUUUGGGUGGCUGAUGUUAUAACCACUCGUGUAUCAUUCUAGAGGAUUAAUGUUGAAAAUAAUAGGAGAUUAGACAGCCGUAGAAGGAAUCAAGGAAGAGAUGACCAACCUGUUAAGGCUGCCCCAUAGAGUUCUCCGGUGAAGUUCCGGGAGAUAAGAGAGAGCUUAUGAUUCUUGGAAUUGUUAUUGAACUUAUCCACAGCUAUCUUGAUGGCGGUUAUUUCCUCUUUACCUUUACGAGAAUUAGCAUCAAUGAUUGCCCCAAUGAUGGUGGAGUUGUCAUCUACUGCUGUGCCGGUGAUGUAUCCAAGAUGGCAGACAAUUAAAAGAAUGGAGGUAAGUGAAAAGUAGAUGAAACAUGGUGUUGGAGAAUUCAGUGGGGAGGGCAUUUCUGCUCUUAGCAACCAGCAAGCAAUUAGUGCCUUAAAGGAGAUUCUUCUAAGCUUAAAUAAAUAUAAAUUCACAAGUAGAAUAUUCAUUUCGAAUCCCCAGUAUGAAGUUUCCUUCUUACUUCGUAAGUCAAUUCUUGCUGGGGAAUUCCCUUCCAUUACUUCCAUUCUCCUUGUACGCGGUAUUCAAAGCCAACCGCAUGGAUUUAUGGCCAAGGACAAAGAAGAUUAAACAAUGUGUCGUUUUCAUUCAAGGAUUUAGUGGUGUUGGAGGUAAGCGAAAAAUAGAAGAAACAUGGUGUCGGAGGAUUUAGUGGGAAGGGCAUUUCGGCUUUUAGCAACCAGCAUGAAAGUGCCUCGACUUUGAAUCCACGAGUUGAAUUCUUUAUUUUGAAUCCCCAAUACGAAGUUCCCUGCUUGCUUCGUAUAUGAAUGCAUGCUGUGUUGAAAUCACUGAUUCACUGAAGGAUAGACACAAAGAAUAUUCAAACAUGAGACUACAUGCAUUUAUGGUCAAGGAAAUCACUGAAUUAACAUCCUUCAUUCCUUUAAUACUUUUGGUUUUAUCUACGAGAGAGAGAGAAUCUCGAUGGUGAUCGAACAAAAAGCGUGGAUUUUUUUAUAAUUAUUUUUUAAAUAAAAAAAUUUAAAAAUAUUUUUAGAAUGUGUUUUUGAGCUGAGAAAUUUUUUUUUUCAUUUUACUAAUAAGAAAAUAUUUUUAUAAAACGUUUCCAAAUAGAUUCUAAAUGUCAAGUUUUAGAUUUUGGUAAGAAUUGUGGUUAGAUGAUGCUGGAUUGAUCAUCAUGAUAAUACCACUUAAAAAAAAUUAUCAAUAUCAUCACAUGAUUAUUUCUCAUCUUAUACUAUUUAUAUAAUUCAACAAGCCUAUAUUUUGACUUAAUGAAGCUUAUAAAUUUAUAAUAUCUUUCAAAAGGGAGAAACAAUCUGGUGCUUAUGCCCCGCAUGCUGAGAUAUACAACUCCAUUCAUGCUCUGCCUUGCUAAUUGAUCAUCAAUUGGUGGAAUAUUUCAUUAACUAAGAAAGUCUUGAAUAUUUCAAUUUUUUCUAAUCGAUCUCUAAUCAAUGGAUGUCAUCAUUAACUAAUAGUUGUCAUAUGUUUCCACAAACAUUAGAGAUAAAACCGAAAAAAAAUCAUUUUUCUUAAUUUUUAUGAUAAAGGGGUAUUUUUAGAAGUUGACAAAUGCGUUAAUAUGAUAAGAAUAAACCUUGGAAAAUUAUUCAAAUUUGUCAAACUAAUUGUUCAAGGCUCUAGAAGAAAAAAUGAGAACAUUCUAAUUCCAAAUACUUUGAAUGUGUUCAAUUUUCAAAGUAUUGAUAAAAUUUACAAUGACUUGAUUGUGUCAUAUUUGACUUGGUCAUGGUCAUACAAGAUUAAUAAAAUAGUUUUUCUGCAAUUCAACACUAACUUCAUUCCAAACAUCAACUCCAUUCCAAAUUAAUUGGUAUGUCUCAUUUAUUUUGACUAAUUCACACUUUCAUUCCAAACAUCAACGCCAUUCCAACUUAAUUGGUAUGUCUCAUUUAUUUUGACUAAUUCACACUAACUUCAUUCCAAACAUCAACACCAUUCCAACUUAAUUGGUAUGUCUCAUUUAUUUUGACUCAUUCAUGAUCAACUCUCAAAAUGAUUGUAUUAUGACUCCAAUAUAUAAAAAUAAAUAAAUAAAAUAAAAAUUAAAAUUAAAUAAGGAGAAUUGUUGUUCUCAUAAAUUCCUUACCUUAAUGAAAAAAAAAAAAAAAGGAAUUGAAAAUUUUAAAUCUCUAUUUUUAGAAGAAGAUCGAUUGACCUUUCAAAGUAUCCUGAGCUAUAAGUUCUUCAUUUUCCUCUCAUUCUCUAUUUAGAGAUUGCAUCUUCUCCCUUAUAAGUAUUGGCCACAAUGUUGACUUGACUAAGGUGAAUGGCUUCUUGCAAAUGUUUGUUGUGAAAGAGUACUUCUAGAAAAAAGUUGACAAAUACAUUGAUAAGAUGAUAAGAAACCUAUGCUUGAGAAUCACUAAACAAAAGUGGGUUAGAGAAUCUAAAAAGUUGAUUGAAACUAAUUAAUUAAACGAAAGCAUUGAAAUGGUGGUAUAUACAAACAAAGUUAUCUUUACUUUAGCAAUAAAUUAAGAAAUUUUAUGCUAAAUAAUAUGAAUUUAAGACUUUUGUUUUAAUGAAAAAAAAAUCAUUGAUCUUAAAAUUUUCAUUAAAUAUUGAAAUAAUGAUAAAUAAUAUGAUCUUCAAUAUAUAUAUAUAAAGUAUAACAAAAAUGCCAAAUACUUUUUUCAUAAAAUAAAAGAAUAUACAAGACAAAUUUCCUUUUUAACUGAACAAAUAAUGAUUUACUUCCUAUAAUUUGAUGACAUUCAUGAAUUUGUCCCUCUUGAGCUAAUCUCCAAAUGUGAAUAGAAUUCUUCUCAUUAGAAUAAUAACAAUUUUAAAGUCACCUUGAUUCCAAGACCGAUAAAUUCAUAAUUUUUCUUGCUUGAUUAGCAUCUCCAAAAAUCAUGCAUUCCAUCUUAACCAUUAUUGUAUCACUAAAAUAUAUGUAAAUUGUCAUUUGAAUGUGCUUACAAGUCUCUAAAAUAAAUUAAUUAAAAUUUAACGUAAAAAUAAAUUAAUAAGAGGAUCUAUCAAAUCCAUUAAUGCCCAAAAACUCUAAAACUUCUUUUUAAAAUACAUAAGAUUAGCUAAGGAUAAAUAUUGGAAACUAAUAGAAUAUUGGUGUUUAGUAAUUGGAGCCAAAAUAUGUGCCCCAAUGACACAUAAACACUAUUAUUUAUGUAACAUAAAAGGCUAGAAUCACCCAACUUAACUCAAUUUGAUGCUAAGAUCCUAGUUAUGGAUCUAACUUAUAUUUUGAACUUAAUUCCAGGUGUAAGAAAUGAAAAAAAUGCUAAGUGCAAAAGCCAUUUUUUCAACCAAGGUAGAGGGAAAGGUUAAAAAAAAUGCAGACUCAAGACUUAUGGAGCAUGAGAAGACCAUAAAAAUAAGAGAAUCGCAAGCAUGAAAGAUGAGCAACUAAUGUUACGGAGAGAAUUAGAGAGCAAGCAACCAUGAAAAAAGAAGGUUUGAAACAAAUGCAAUCGAGCUUAAAAUGGAAUUUGAAACUCAAACCUAGUAAUAACACAUACCCUGAAUUUAAAGGGAAUUUUGGAGCAACUUUCAUAAUCUUUUUGAGUGAUUCCACAUAUGAUUUUGAAUUUGAAGAAGUCAAGAAUCCAACUCUUCAAAUAACUCAUGAUUUGGAGUUGAAAUGAAGAAGAUGUGAGCAAUUAAAAAGAAUUGUGCAAAGAGAAACCAAAGAAGUAUCAAUUUCACAAGAUGUGCAAAAUGGAAUAGAGUUAAAUUUUAUAAGAGCUAAGAAACCUAUGGGAAUUUCUUUCGCAUUAACAUGCAAAUAUUGACACAACCAUGCCAAAACCACUAGAAUUGUGUUGAAGUGUUGCCAAACCAUUUCCAUUUCACAUGAUCAUGCAAAAUUGGUAAUCCUCAUGAGAAAUUAAAGAGUUUUAUUGUUACACGUCUCUUUCAGGGUUAGACUAUAUGUAUUUGCUAUGAUUAAAGGGGAGAAAAAUGGAGAGAGAAAGGAAUUGAACUUUUUUUUUUUCAAUUCUUUAAUAAAUCUUUAGUUUUUUUUUUCUCUCUUUUCCAUCUUUCUAUUUUAUUUUAUUGGCAACCAAACAUGGGUUGUGAGGAAAAAUCCUCCAUCAUGUUUGGAUAAUUUAAUAGAUCCAGAGAUGUUAAUAGGAAUGUGAAGAAUCCAAAUGAGUAGUAAGAAAUGGUAAUGAAUUAAUUGGGUUUCUUUAUGUUUUCAUAUUUGAAUUAGUAGGAUUAAAUCAUCUCUAUUUGUUUACCCUAGAUAAGGUAUAAAGGAUUCUUACCAAGGUAUUAGUGAUUGUUGGAAAGAUCUUAAUCACUAGUUAACUCAAUUUGAUCCUAUUGUUAGCAAAUCUAAAAGUCGAAUCUACAAUAUGGAUAUGGGCUCUUGAUUGAAUAGAAUUGAAAAAUAAAAUCAACCCUUAUAUUUAAUUGGUUUGAGAGAUUUGUGCUUAAAAAAAUAAAGAUCUAAAUUUCAGAUCCAAUAAUGAUCAUGGGAUUCAAUUUGGUCUCAAAUUGACUUUAAUCCUAUAACCUAGAUUUUACAAGACUCACUUUUUAGGGAUUCAAUGUUGGAUUGUUCAACUCUUAAGGACAUUUUCUUUUAUUUUAUCAAUUUCAUUAAAUACUUUAAGAAAAUUUUAUUUAUAUUUAUUUAAAUUAGGUUUUAUUACCUUUAGAAAAUAAUUCAUCAUUCCAACCUAAAAUUAAUUAAACACAUUAGUGUUGAUCCUAGAGGGUGGCAACUUGAAAUACUACAAAGUCAUGGUAACUCCAUCUCUGGUUUUUUUUUUUUUUUUUUUUGCCAAAGUUAUCACGUAUUUAGGCUUUUAGUAUUUUAAUUAGAAAAGAGAUUUGUGGUCAAUUAGCAAUAAUAUAAUAUGUGAUGGCAAGAAAUAUGUAUUUUAAAAAAUACACUCAUUACUAAUAUAAAGUAAAUAUUUGAUUUAAUUAAAUGUCAAUAAUGUUAAGAUAGAGUUCUUAAAAUCAUGACAUGAGGCAAUGAUAAAUGGAUUUUAUUAUUUAUAUUAUGAUUCUAGUUUCCCAAUUUCUCUAUCCUAUUCAUGCAUUACACUCACUAAGCUUUUAGGAUUGGUAUCUCUUGCAUUAUACAUAACUUCGGCGCAUUAUACAUAGCUCUUAUAAAAUUUAACUCUAUUCCAUUUCGCACAUCUUGUGAAAUUGAUACUUCUUUGGUUUCUCUUUGCACAAUUCUCUUCAAUUGCUCACAUCUUCUUCAUUUCAACUCCAAAUCAUGAGCUAUUUGAAGAGUUGGAUUCUUUACUUCUUCAAAUUCAAAAUCAUAUGUGGAAUCACUCAAAAAGAUUAUGAAAGUUGCUCCAAAAUUCCCUUUGAGAUAGUAUGUCCACUUGGGUGAUCCUAAAGACACGUGUUCAAGCAAAUUAUGCACACAGUAGUUAAUUCCUUAAUUCGAAACUUGACAUGAGUUCUUUGUGAGUUAGUGUACAUGUCAGUUGAUCACAAAAUAGGAGGAUUUAUAACUUAAUGACUUUAGAAUUGUUCUUCAUCAUAAAGAAAUCACUUGUGAACAUCUGAAUCUUUGGUAAGCACUCUAAUCUCACUCUUCUAGACCCUAAGAAUGUAUUGAAUGCAUAUUUUUCCACUAUAUGUAGGUUCUAGUCGCUUUAAGGAAGUUUCAUGCACCUAACAAGGUCUAGGGCUAGGGGACAAAGUUAUCUGAAGUUUCCUACACUAAAAUCAUUAAUGACUUUGAUCUACUGGUGAGACACUAAGGUUGUUAUAUAUUCCUAAUAGAUUGGUCACUAUUAAUGGAAAUUAGUGACAACAUGUAUAUUCAAGAGAGGCACCACAAUAUCUCAUUGGUUUGAGACAGUGUGUCCUCUUAGGUGAUCCUAAUGACAUGUGAUUAGGAAAUAUGUGGUUAUAAUAAUUCCUUAAUUAGAAUUUGACAUAUACUCUUAGAGAGUUAGAAUAUGUUAGUUGAUCACAUAAUAAAAGGAUAUGAGACUCAAAGAUUGCAGAGGUAAUUUUGAGAGGUUGAUAACAUAUACUUUGUUAAAUUACGGAUACUAGUUCCUAGAAAGUCUACAAACAAUGGAUAGUAGGUCAUAAACUUGAGUUCUUGUAGUGUAAUUGACUCUUUAUAGUAGGAUGUUGAGUUAACUUUAAAACUUAGAUUAUGAGGGAGCUAAUAUAUUUCUAUAUGUUUUAGUGAUCUCCGCUCAAACUUAUAUUUUUUUAUGGCACAUUUAUUGAGGGGUAUUUAGGUUAUUUAUUCAUAUGUGUGAAUAACAGUAUUUUAGUUAAUACUCAAGAUUGCACAAGAGCUUGUAAAUGGUCUCUCUAGACUAGGGUAAUAGAUUAAUUAGAGACUGAUAUGACCAAUUAAUUAAUUAAGACCCAAGUAGAUUGGAUUAGGGGUUUAUAACUAUAUAAAUCCACAAAGAAGCCUAUAUAAACCCUCUUAGAGGUUUAAGCCUUCAUUUUUGACAUUACAAUCUUCCUAUUCACUUCAAAGAGAAGAAAUGCUUAGUCACCACCCCUCUAUGAUACUUCCACUACCUUCAGUGAUAAGAGUAAAGGAAAGAGAGUUAUCAGGUGGAAGAUUCCUAGGCUUGUGAGAUCCAAGUUAUUCUUUAUCGACAAGAAACAAUUGAGGAACAUUCAAGUAUAAAGUAAAACACUUUAAACCUCUAGAUCUACAUUUUUUUUUUUUUUAUGUUUGUAUUCUUCUACUUGUUAGAUCUGGAGAGCUUUAAGAAGAUUUUUCAUGAUUUUUCGAUCCAAGGCUAAGAAUGGAGUAAUCUAUGGAUUCCCACAAAUAAUUUAUACAAAUUACAUUCUAAUGGUUCUAUCUUAUAUUAAAAUAAAGGUCAUUAGUUUUUGUGAAAUUAAGGCUAGUCUUAUUAGGAAAAUCAACCAAGAGGGGGGUGAAUUAGGUUUUUGAAAAACUUUUCUAAUCACUACAAAUUUAAUAAUAAUAAUAAGGCAUAAAUAUAAAAAAAUUGAGUUAGAGAGAGCAAAUGCAAAUUUUAUAGUGGUUCGACACCCCUUGCCUACAUCCACUCUUCUCAAGCUCCAAUCGAUUGAGGGUUCCACUAUCCUUGAAACUUCAACUAAGCUUCCAAUGUCUUUACACUUGGAUUUUGGCUCUAAGGGGCACUUACACAAUCCCUUUAAGAAUUUACCAACUUGAAGCUGUCAAUGCUCACAAAACUCACAUAAACAACAAGGAAGUAAACUCUCAACCUAGCUCAAUAAAUGCUCAAAUAAAAAAGAAGGUUAGGAUGAAUGACAAAGGGUGCACUAAAGAGUAUGCAAGUGAAGAAUCAAUGCACCAAAGAAAGAAAAUAAGAGCUUUAAAUGAAAAACAAGUAAUUAGACAAUUGAUUGCAUGUGUUCCCUUACUCAUAAAUGAAGUAAAGUUUUCUAUUUAUAGGUUUCUAGUCUUGAGAACCAAAAAUAACAUAAAAAUGCCUCAUCCGGUCGAGCUCCGAUUCAAUCGAUUGACUAGUCGUUGGGCAUUAAAUGCAUAGUUAGUGACCGUUAGGCCUCAACCGAACCUCAAUUGGGAACACCUAGCCCUCAACCAGGAAAGGUCUCACCCUCAACCAAGAAUGAAACCUUUCUAGAAGAGAAAGAAAAAAAAAUUGCAUCUCUCGAUCGGAAUUAGAUGGAAUAUAGAAAAUCUUAUGUCCUAAGCCUCUAAAUUUGUUCAUUAUGUAUUUCUUUUUAUAUUAAUUUUGUUCUUAUUAAUUAUUUAUAUAUAUUAUUAUUUUGUGCUUAAAGUGUCUAUAAAUAAUUAAAAUCAAUAACUUUGAAAAGAUGAAAGAGUAAAAAUUUGAAAUUAAAAAAUCUUUCAUAUACAUAUAUUUAAAAAAAAAAAAAGUCAAAGGUAUUAUGGAGAAAGGAAAAGAUAAAAAAUAAAUAAAAAAUAAAAAAUCGUGAGGCAUGAUUGGUUACUACAAUUCAUAGUUUUCUUUUUUAUAUAUAUAAAAAAAAUUAAACAAAAAUAGACAACCAUGAUGAGCUUUGCAUCUUUGAUUUGUCGUGUCAAAGUUAAAAAAUAAAAUAAAAAAUGAGGUAGUUAAUUGAAAGUAAAGGUGGUUUAGAAAGUAGUUUUGGAAUUUUGAUAAUAUCAUGCAUGUUUGUAGGAUUAUUUUCUCCAAAAUGUAUGUGUUUUGAAAGUCAAAAGUCAAAAUUUUCAACUUUUUUUAGGUGUUGCAUGAUUAUAUGAUUCUCAUCCAUGGUUUCAACAUACUUCUUGGAAUUGGAGCUUUCUAGGAAUUUUGAUUUAGGGUUUCUUAAUUAAUAAGGGUAAAUUUCUAGGGAAUUAGAGCUUUCUAAAAGGUCACCAAUUUUAUGAAUUAGCAAAGACAACUUAGAAGAGGAUAAUUUUACUUCUUGAAUGACAUUUUUUUUCCUAUUGCUCCUUAUAAAUAUAAGAAAAACAAAAUAAAACAUGAUCCAAUGGUUUACUUAUAUAAUUUGUGAAAAAAGAAUGAGAGAUACUUAAAUCAAGAAAACCACAACAAAACCCUAAACUUUAACCGUUUGAUUCCCUUAUCGUCGAUAUUUUCUCCAUAAACAACUACAUGGAAAAGCUUAACUCUUUUUCACAAGGCACACUAAUCUCUUUCUCUCUAUAGAUCUACUUCUUUUCUUCUUCUUUUUUCAUGAGAAGUCCCUUUGUAGUGGUUUUGAUUUCUAGGGUAUCAUUUCGAGUAUUUAAGAAAUUCAAAGAUUUCAAUUUUUAGGUUUUCAUUUUAGAUCCUUCUAUUUUUUCACACCCAAAGAAAACAGGGAACUCUCCAAAAAAACAUUGGUAUUCAAUCUUACACCUCUUUUUUGAGGGCAUGACAAAUGGGAUCUAAAUAACAUAUUGGGCUAUUGGGUUUUGGUUUGUUUUGGAAGUCCUUUUUAAAUUGAAUUUGUUUUAUAUUUCCAUCACCUUCUCCCUUUGUCUCCACCAUUUUUAUUACCACACUCUCUUCUAUUACUAUGAUUUUUAUUUUUCAAUGUUGCUUGUUAGGUUUUAAUUCUAGGUUUUUGUUUUAUAUUUCAAAGGCUUAUAGCUAGCUCCAAGUGUACAAAUAAUAACAUCAUUUUGAUUCUCUUAUUAUUAUUAUUUUUUAUUCAACAUGGAUUAGGACAAAAUCCUUAAAAGCAUAACAUGAUGUAAAAAUAAAUGAUUUUUUAUUAUUAUUUAUAAUAUGUUUCCAUUUUCCCAUUUAUAUAUCUAUCAUUUUUUCAUACUUCAUAUUUUAUGAGUAUUGAAGCCUAGCAUCACUUACAUUAUAAAUAAUUUGGAUGUAUUACAAAUUGUAUAGAAGAUCGAAGUCAUAGGUUUCUUGUAAGUUAAUUAUUCAUUAACAGUUGAUUAAGCAAUGUAUUUAAGGUUAUAGUGUACUACCUUCUAAUUGGAUGAAUGACUUGCUUUAGUUUUUAGGAUAAGGUUUUCAUGGUGAAUGCAUUAGUAUAAAUGGUUAUACAAUAGACAAAAUCUAUAAUGAGUCAUAAUAUUGAUUAUUAAGUAGUCAUGAUUUCACCAAAUUACUAUAUGGUAUAUAUUCUUAACUUUAAGAGAAUAUUAAGGUAGUGUUGGGAUCUUUAAUAACUUUGACCUAUUUGUGAAACCUUAAAGUAAACAUAUAUUCCUUAUAUCAAGGAUCUUAUAACAUUUAUUAAAAAAAACCUAAUUAUUUAUUCUAAGUAAAAUAGUAGUACAUAAACUCAACAGCUAGUCUCUAUUGAGUGUAUAUGGUUGCAGUAGGGGGAGAAGUCUCAAGAGACUCCGGCACAUCAGAAGGGCUCACCCUUGAGUUCAUAGUCGCAGUAGGUGGAGAGGCCUCAAGAGGCUCCGGGCAUCAGAAGGGCUCACUGUUGACCACCUUGCAGAGAUCCAUUCAUCUCCAGUGGAACGAGAAGACAAAUUUGACAGUCUUUCAUUAGGAAUCUCAGUUUGUCCAUUAUGAAAGAAAUGUACUAAUUGAACAGUCUUCAUCCAGACACUUUCAUCACUUCUGGAUGGCUGUUUACGAUUAAAAUCGAUGAGCAGGCGAAGGAAGAACAGUACAAUGUAGAGGGUGGAAGUGGCGCCACAUAAAAGGUAGAGAGCCCAGAAGUUCCCGAGGCUCAGUUCAUCAUUUUCGGUGGCUGAACACUCGGCAGAACAAGGAAACCACUUUUCUUCUAAUGCUUUUAGAAUCCUCUUCUCAGAUAUGGUUAGGAUGGCUUCAGAAACAUCAGCAGCUAAUGGAGAGCCUUUCUGAAAGGCCUGCAUGGAGAUCAACAAGGAUGACAUGACCAAAGCUAAUUUCAUUGUGACAAUGCUAAAAGAAUUCCAUAUGCUAUCCUACUCCACUGAGCAAUGGUUCAACUAAUUCAAUUCCUACCACCAGUCAAGGGAUGGGACAAUUUUCUUUGGGGGAAAAGGGCAUCAACAAAUCAGUUUGGGCCACUUCAUACAUGUGUUAAGAGAAGUUGCAGAAAAUUUUAGAGAAUGCAAAUGGGGAAGAGUUCCAGUUACUACUCACAAAGACUAAUCCUCCAAAUCUGUUGAGGGGUUGGCCGGCAGUGUAAUUCUUGCAGAACUGGCUGGUGAAAACUUUUGCAUAAGGAAGUUGAAGAAAGGCAGCUGACAUGUUCCCACUCUGGAAUUCGCCAGGAUAUUGGUAUUGGUUGCUAAUAUUCUUGAUAUCAGCUCCUUCGAAUUUAAACACGUUCUCUAAGUAUUCCCUCGUAAAUGCAGCACCAUCACAACCAACCACAGACCUAGUAGCUUUUAGCCAUUCGAUAUCCAUCACAUUGGGUUCAAGUCGUCGGACAGUGAGCAUUGAAGAGAGACUAGCAGUGUAGCUCGAGGUUAAAACGAAGACUACAAACAGCCACACCACUAUCACUACUCGAGUAAUAUUGCUACGAAUUGUCUCCCCUGGAAAAUGAAACAAUGGCUAGCUUUCUGAGUUAUUUAAUUAUUGAGCAACCAAAAUCUCUUCCAUUUUUAAUAUUACUACUUACUAUGAGCAAAGAAAAGAGAAGAGAAGGUGAACCAAAGAGCAGUCCCGAGCUGACUCUUCCAUGGGCCUCUGAAUGCUGGAUUAUUGGAUUGGUACGAUCCAGUACCCAAACUAUGAACAUGGUGUAGAUCAAGAGGGCACCUGUGACUACCCACAUUUCCAUGGUGAAAGGCUUCAGGAACAUCCAUGCCUUGUGAGGUUCUUUAGGCCUUGCUUGUAUUAUCACCAAUCCCGACUCGGCAUAUGGCAGUGUGAAUUCCACUUUUUUUGAACGGGUGGCAAGUAUAGUCACAUCGCCAACCACAGCAUCAAAGGUCUUCCAUGUAUUUGAUAGGCAUAAAAUCUCUCAGAGACAAAUGAUUGAAACAAAUAUGAAGUAUGAUUCAGGAAUUCUGAGCGUUAAUCUUCUGUACUAUGUUCACUGCUGUCUCAUGGGGAUAAAGUCAAAACUUAAUAUACCAGAAAAGUCUACCGGGCAGGAUUUCUUUGGGAGGCAUAAAAAUUGAGAAGUUUCGAGGGUUUGAAAAACCUAAUUAUGGAAAUAUAUAUUUCAUAUAAAAUCUUUCAUAAACUCCGGCGCUCUUGUAGAAAAGCAGGCAAGUGUUAACUAGAGAGGUUCAGUUUGACUUUGAUUAUCAUUUAUCAAGCGAUUGUUUCAAUUGUUUUCCUUUAAACAAACGACAUGUUAAUUUGGUCAGCAAGCAAGACAUGCUUUUUGAGAAAUUAGAAAAGGGGGAAGGUUUACUGAUGAAAUCACAACACAAACACCUGCUGAAGUUACAAAUAAAUCUUGGUCGCUAAUGUGAAGUUGAGAUUUAAUUCUGGUGUGGGGAAUAUCAUGAUUAUUGAGAAAGAUUUAAAGAGCUAAGGCUAGAGAUAGGAGUAAAUACCUUGUUAUAAACACAAUAUUCAACCAGCUCGUCAUAUGUGCCAAAAAAUGGAUGGAACUUGUAGGGUAGAGAGUAAUUUUGCUCCAGAAUUUUUACCACCUCUCGGAAAAUAUCAAUACAGAAACCAGUAUAUUUUUUUUCAGGCUCGAUUUGAGCUUCGCCCACCUCCACAAAAUUUUUAAAAGUGCCGUUAGCUGGAAUUCCAAUCUUCAAUGGUUUUGGAUCAGUGGGCAUUUCCCAUCCCUUGGGGACACGUUUUAGGUACCCUGGCCAAAUCACUGGACCCUCCAAAAUCCUUGUGGUGUUUCUACCGCUAUUUUUGUCUCCACCUUCUCUGCUGAAAGGGUUGUCCAAGUCCUGUGUCCAAAAGUCAAGAUCCUUGUAGCCUUUUCCAACAAAGUUUAUAAUCCUGAAUGGCAACGAAUUUGAAUUUGAAAAAUUAAUUGUUCCACUUAAACCACUAAAGUUGCUUGAUAAUAUAUUUUUUAACAACAUUUUUGGAGUAUCAGUAUCACCAACUAAUCUCUCCAGGGCCCAUGUGAUGACAGCAAUGCCAUCAUAUGCUCGUAGUGCAUGAAUUCCUGGCUGGCCGUUGUCUUCCUUUGGAUAUUCAGAUUUAAAAUUUUUCUGAAACUGGGCAGAGAAUUCUUGGAAGGGCCUAUUGGAUUUGGAAUAGCAGGACUUGAUUCCUAGAGCCCCUUCCAUAUAGGGGAUAACAGAGGUGUCCAUGGAAUCCAGGAAGCUUGAAAUGCUAUCUGUAACUAUCCAGGCUGAGUCUUUCCCCAUAAAAUCCAUCCGCCUUGCUUCUUG
This 66363-nucleotide long non-coding RNA is filed under the name Vitis vinifera (wine grape). RNAcentral's name for it is "long non-coding RNA (VVIN_LNC003104)". The record is from RNAcentral. Lineage: Eukaryota; Viridiplantae; Streptophyta; Magnoliopsida; Vitales; Vitaceae.